Molecule: long non-coding RNA, 54887 nt
Filed under: Nicotiana benthamiana
Lineage: Eukaryota; Viridiplantae; Streptophyta; Magnoliopsida; Solanales; Solanaceae
Source: RNAcentral
GCCGUUUCUAAAGUCAGUCAACCCACAAAAAGCGCCAAGUAACAAUCGGACAUUGAAUAUAUCAUCAAACUUUCAACACAGUUUUUACUACUAUAUAUAACAAUAGCCAACCAUUCUUUCUCUUUCAUAAACCAACCAAAAUUCUUACGAGAUAUUCGAAGAUCAACAGGAGGAAAAGAUAAUCAUGUGUUACGAGAUUAAGUGUCCGGCCUGUGGAAAGACCAGUUGGAGUGGUUGUGGAAGACAUGUUCCUUCAGUUUACAACCAAAUCCCAGAAGGACAACACUGCCAGUGCAAGGAUUGGCCCGGUGUCAAAACUACCGGUGACGGCGAGGGUUCUGUCUCCGGCGGCGACAGCGACGGCGGGGAUUCUAAACCUUCUUCUUACUGUACUAUCCUUUAGAGAAAUUGGGAGUUUAAAUAUGCUUAAGUCUAUUUUUUUUUUGUGCUCUAAAAUAAGCGUUAGCUGAAGUUAUGUCUGUCUAGUAUAUUAAUGUAAUAAAUGUCAAUUGUAAUAGAAAUUUUUUCUCUUUAAUUUUCUACUUUGGGAUUUAUGAAAUACUAUCUUUCACGGCAGAUCUAUCUGGUUAAGGGUAUUCAAAACCAAACCAAAAUUGAUAACCGAAAACUGAAUCGAAAUAGAAGCUUAAUGACUUAUUAAUAUCGCGCGAUAACGAUUUAACUGAUGGAGAAUGGUGAAAUUCUUUUAUUAACGGCUUAUUGUUUUUGGGGGCGAAUUAUUCAAUUUUCUUAAAGGAUAAUCCGUUAACCCGUUAAGAAUAUAUAUAUAUAUAUAUAUAAAACAAAAAAUUCCAUAUAUAUAUUAAAUAAUGUAAAACCCUUUUUCCACUUCCAGUACUCUAUCUCUAUUCUUUAUUACUAAUUUACUAUUAGACAAAUUUUAAUUGCUUGCUUCGCACAUUCUUUUCAAUCCUAUCAACCCAAAAACAAUGUACUUGAUUGCUUCACGUAUUCUUACCACCUCUAGAAGGUGUAGUGGAUGUACCAAAACUUAACAAAUAAAAGAUAGUUUAACGAGUAGAAUCUGUUAUUAAAUUAGGUAUAACACAUAUAUAUGUAGGUUUUCUUGCAUGUAAAAAAAACAUCAGUCCGCACACAUUUCGGUAGGUGUUCUUGAAUUGUUUAGAAAUUAGAGCGACAUCUAAUGAAAAUUGGAGCAACAUUAGCAUACAUUUGAAGGAAGACGAAGCAAAUUUUGGACCAUCGCUAAAUUUGGUAAAUUGUGUCAUGUGAAAUAUAGAUAGAAUUAUGCCGAUAACUACUCGAUAACUGCCCGUUAAUGUCACGUCCUUUUAAAAAAAAUAAUAAACCUCCCUAAACCCUCUUAAAAAUAAUAAAAAAUUUAGUGAAAGCUUGACAAAGGUUUUUCAAUUUUGAAAGAGACAAAAAUUUGUUCAAAAAGGAAAUAGACUCAGAGUCGCCACCUGACAUGAUUUCGAUGUGUCGGUUCAUCGUUUUUCUAAAAAUAAUAAUUUUCCUUUCAAUACACUUUGAAUUCUAAAACUAAGUCUGCACAAGAGAUUUGGGUAAGUUGGUUCAUAUGACCCGUGGAGAAGGUGUUAGGCACUCCCCAAGUCCCGUGAAGGUAAUAGUUGUGUACUCGAUCUAAUUGGCUGUUAAAAUAUUCUAUUGAGAUAAAAAAAUAAAUAAAUAAAUAAACACAGAAGUUGCUCGAGGUCAUCCCUACCUAAUAAGAGAAAAUGAAAAGGAAAAGAAAAGAAAAAUCCUAAGCUAACCUAUACUACGACUUCCCCGCCAUGCUCUUCAAGGCCUCUAAAACAUUUUCAUAGUUCUUCGGGACAUACCCCGAAUAAUAAUAUAUAAAAAUCUUUCGGGGCAUUUUCCGAAUAAAUUUAACUAAGGAACGACCUCUUGGCUCGAAACAACAAAAAUCCUAUAACUUGCCUACCCGAGUGAUGACGGACUAAACAUAUGUCUACACGGAAAGUAAAUAAAACAAGAAUAAAAGAAAAAGUAAAUAAAACAAGAAUAAAAGAACAAUAUGAUUAUCUUGAAGCUGAAUUUUGUUUAUAUUUUUUCUUCGUUUUUACCCAUCAACCCAAACAAUGAAAUCAAUCCAGAAUAAGUUAAGUUGGAACGUCUCACUUUAAUAAAGCUAAAUCACAUUCGGUUGAAUCAGUAACAUAAAAACACCACAAGAAAGACAUUCUUAUUGCCACUUUCACGUCACUAAAAAUUCUAAUCAUCAAACUCAAUAAAAUUUUAUCAAAGGAUCAAAUGAUAUCACAAACAAAAAUGGAAACCAUCUGAAUCAACCUUCCAGAUGAAUAUGUGACAAAAAUCAAGAGGUAAGAUGUUAAAGAUAGAAGUAGACCUUUAAAUGGUUUUCAAUAGCGCAACUCCUUCAAUAGCUUUACACUCGAUCCAGCGAGGAGAAAAAAAAGAAUCCGUCAACAGGAACUCCACGGAGUAACGAUCAGCAAAAAAAGAUCAAACGAGGGAACCAAAACCCGAAUUUCACCUCGAAUUCACAAAACUUUCGACCUCUUAUUUUCGAUUCCUGCCUUCUCUAAUUACUUUUUAAUUGUUCUCUGAUUGUUCAAAGAGGCGGGGUGUUGUGAAAUUAGUGAGUAACUCAUUGGAUGGUAUAUUUGGAAAUCCAAAUAAUUAUUUGUGUGACCCAUGUUGAAUGUAAGCUGGGAAAAAUUAGAUAUAAGUACAGCAGAGAGGGUAGAGUAUGGGGUAUGCUGAAGUUGUCAAGUGUAAUCUCUUUUUUCUAAUAUUGGAAAUCUUCUAUACUUCCUAUCCCUAAUUCUAUAUCAGUCUAUUUCUCACCUUUUUAUUCUUAUAUUUUCAGUAACAGCGUUCUUACUGUCAUUAGCCUUUGCUUUGUAAUUCCAAUUAUUGUUGAGUUAAUACAAUCAGUUGGUUUGGUUGUUAAUUGGUUUGUUACACGGGGAAAUAAGAAGAAGAAAAUGAGGUGAUAAUAUUCGAAAUCGAAGCCUUUAAUUAAUGUUUCUAUAUCCCUCAGUUCGUUCACUUUACUUCAGGGAUUGGAGACGAUGGCUUUUGGUGGUGUCGCUAUUUUGAAGAUGUCAAGAAGAAGGGAUGUCCUAUGGUGUAAGGUGAAGAAGAAGAGCGGCAAUGGCGGUGGUCUAGCGGCUGAAAACGGCGGAAGCUGCUUGGUGAAGAGAGGAGUUUCGUUGCUUCAACUGGUUUCAAGUCUGCCGCCGCUAUUUCGAAGAAGAAGGGAUCAUUUGGUGUUCUGUCGCGGCUUGUUGUGGGAUUCCGCAGGUUUUGGUUGAACAGCCGCUGUCGGCGAUUCUGGUUGAUGGAAGGUUGAUUACUGGUUGUUGUCCGUGAGGGAGAUGGAGAUGGUGGUUUUGAGACGAGGAAGAUGCAGUGUCGAUGGCGUUUGGAGUUUAGGGUUCUGUUAAGGGGUUUGUUGUUCUGUAUUGUCUUGUUUAAGGAAAAUGAAGUUAGCUAGGUCUAGGGUUUUGGACUUUUUGUGUUAUGGAAGAAGUGAACUCCGAAUUUGGGCCUAAGAUUUGGCUCCAUUAGGCUAAAAAUAUUGGCCUUGUGACAUGAAAAUAAGUACUAAUCCAAUUCAGUCUUUUCUUUUUUACAAAAAUAAAAUUGAUAACAAAAUAUACUACCAAAAAUAGUAAUUAAUCUUAAUUAAUGAGAAUAAACUGUUAAAAUGACAUUAAAUAUGGAACUAUUAAGUAAAGAAAUAUGGAACUAUUUUAUAAUUUUAAUUUUAUUUUUAAAAUAAUGUAAAAGAGUCAAAAUUAGUUGAAAUAACUAUAUUAAGCCUAAAUGAAAUAUUUUACGCUAAAAUGGGUGAAAUUUUGGGGAGGGUCAUAAAUGACAUGCCUAUAGAUGCCCCUCUUUGACUGGAAAUACGAAGUAUUUUCAGACAAAGAAUGACAAGACAUGUUUUUUGACCGAACCCUUAUUUAAAAGGACCAAAAGCUAAAAGAAAGGAGAAUGUGACCGAGCACUGGUAUUUGAGCUGCCUACAUAUUCUUGGCUAUAAAGGAAUCAGGCCACGUGUAAUUCAAAAGAAGAAGUAAUGAUGGAGUAUACCGAGGUAGAGAGUCGAUUGAGGUGCCGUUUCGCCGAGGUUCCGGUCCACGGUUGAGUCUUGAAUGGUUCUUCAUGCAAACAUUAGAUUUGAACCUUGAUGCUCACUAGCUGCAGGUGCUAGUUCGUUCUUCUUCAGCUUUUCCGGAUCAAGACCAAACAUGUAGCGCUCGCGACUUCAACCACGUCUUGAGCAAUUCACAUCUUUUUCUGCUUCUGCAUUUUGGAUUCGCUUCUUUUUUCUUUUCUUUUUUUGCUACUUCUAACUUGAAUUGAAUUUUGAAAUGACUUCCCUCGUUCUCCAGGUGGGCACCUAAUUGCUAUAACUUGAACUGUAUUUCUUCGUUCUCUAGGUGGGUGUCUGCAAUCAAAACAAUAAAAUAAACAAAAGUUUUUGCCCUAGUUCGCACUAUGAAAAUUUGUGAGUUGUUAGCAAAACAGUAAAUCACAAUGCUAUUGUUGCAAUAAUGAGAGUAAAGCUAAAGACUUAACUGGGAUGUGCGUCUCCUGCGAAUCAAACCAAGAAGAUUUGACUAGCAAGUGCGUCUGCUAAGAAUAGAACCUGAAUGACCCGAACUAGGAAGUACGUCUCCUAGGGAUGAAACUUGAAUGAACCAAAACUAGGAAGUGCGUCUCCUAGGGUUAAAACUUGAAUAACUCAAAGCUGUAUGAAUUUUUAGUGAAAUCUUUAAUAGUUUGAGUUAUACAAGUUUUACCCCUAGGAGACGCACUUCCUCGUUUUGGUUCAUUCAAGUUUCAUCCCUAGGAGACGUAAAUGACCCAAACUAGGAAGUGCUUCUCCUAGGGGUACUAUCUCAAUUUAGGAAAUGCGUCUCCUAAAACAAAAUAUAACCUGAGAGACCCAGACUAGGAAGUGUGUAUCCUAGGGGCAAAACUUGAAUGACAAACAAGGAAGUGUGCCGCCUAGGAAUGAACUUAAAUGACCCAAACAAGGAAGUACAUCUCCUAGGGAUAAAACCUCAAUUUAGGAAGUGUGUCUCCUAAAACAUAAAUAUAACCUGAAGACCCAUAUUACGAAGUGUGUCUCCUAGGGGUGAAACUUCAAUGACGAAAGCUAGGAAGUGUGUCUUCUGUGAAUGAAUUUAAAUGACCCCAAAAUUAGAAAGUGUGUCUCCUAAAAUGAAAAUAUAACCUGAACGACCCAGACUAGGAAGUGCGUCUCCUAGGGGUAAAAUUUCAAUGACUCGGGCUAGAAAGUGUGUCUCCUAGGGAAAAAAAUCUCAACUUAGGAAUUGCGUCUCCUAAAAAAAUAUACCCUAACAGAUCCAGACAAGGAAAUGUGUCUCCUAGGGGUGAAACUUCAAUGACUCAAGCUAGGAAGUGCAUCUCCUAGAAAUGAAUUUAAAUGACCCAAAACUAAGAAGUGCGUCUCCUAUGAGUGAAACUCAUUUUAGGAUGUGCGUAUCCUAAAAAGUAUAACUUCAAAAACCUAGACUAAGAAGUACGUCUCCUAGAGGUAAAACUUCAGAUUAGGAAGUGCGUCUCCUAAAACAUAAUAUAACCUAAAAGACUCAAGCUAGGAAGUGCGUCUCCUAGGAAUGAAUUUAAAUGACCAAAGCUAGGAAGUGCGUCUCCUAACAAGUAUAUUCUGAAAGACUCAGACUAGGAAGUGCGUCUCCUAAUGGGUAAAACUUCAACGACUCCAUCUAGGACGUGCGUCUCGUGGGGAUGCAUUUAAAUGACCAACACUAGGAAGUGCAUCUCCUAAAAUAAAAAUAUAACUUGAAAUACCCAGGCUACGAAGUGCAUCUCCUAGGGGUAAAAUCUCAAUUUAGGAAGUGUUUCUCCUAAAACAGAAUAUAACUUGAAAGGCCCAGAUUAGGAAGUGCUUCUCCUAGGGGUGAUGUGUGAUCUUCUCCAUAGCCUUUGCACAAGCAGAAUUGGGGCACUACACCUAAAAGAUUCAAACUUUGUUAUAAACAUAACCUUUAUCCUUGUUUCACACAAAGAAAACUUGUGAGUUUAAAACAGAGUGGUUAGUUUGUUGCCUUGACCUUGAAGGCGGUUGCUUCUACACUUGCCAAGAUAACUUUGAUUUCAACUUGGACGACCUUCACCGUUAUUGACUACCCAUUUUCAUUCAACCCUUAUCACAGAAAAUAUCUCGGCUCCAUUCGAUCCUAAAAUCCUCUAUCUGUUGUAGUUUGCUCAUGAAUUGACAUCUACCGAAACUUUAUUUCACAUAAAUCCCGAAGCAUUUUGAUUGUGACCAACUCAAUGCGUAUACUGUUCUUUCCUAACAUAUGCCAUUUUGAUGUACUGGCCAGAAUCUGCUUUGUGCAAUUAGCAAGCUGGUAACAGAAUUUGAAGUCAUUUAUUACUUGUUCUAACAAACAGACUUGAGAUGGGGCUCAACCAAAACAAGAGGAACAAAAUCGAAGAAAAACGAGAAGACAUAGUACCUAACAAGAAAAUUACAAAGAAGAAACUUAUCAGAUGUGGAUACCAACUCUAAUGACCAUUACAUGAACCUUUGGAUUAUGUGGCUUAUUCUCUUGGGCAAGUCUAAUAUUCAACUCUUGUUGUACCUCUUCGCUGUGAAACUGGGCUUCAGCGCUUCAAUUGUUCCGUCUGUCUAUAAUCCUCAGUCAACUUGUAGUGCCCUGAAGGGUUUUCACUAUCAAGUCUCUCACCUUCGCCUUAUGGUGCCCAUGACGGUUUUCGCCGAUAACACUCUCUCAUUUUAUCCUUUUCUCUCAUUGUGUUGAGAAAAUGGUAUUACCCAUGAUGCAGGAAGAUCAUACUUUCACCACACACUUGAUUUGGCAUCCUCAAAGAUUGGUCGGAAGGNNNNNNNNNNNNNNNNNNNNNNNNNNNNNNNNNNNNNNNNNNNNNNNNNNNNNNNNNNNGAUUUGUCAUCCUCAAAGAUUGGUCGGAAGGUCUUUCUUUGGACCGUAAUAUAGGCUUUUGAAUAGGGUUAGAAAGAAAAUGUGGCAUGAAGGCUCAAAAUAAUUUAAGAUGAAAGGGUUCAAAGUUACAAUAUUUGGAAUCAGGACUUUUGGCAAAAUUAAAACUUCUUCCCCAGUUUCUUGGAGUUUGGGGAAUUAUUAUUUCUUGGAAUUUCUAAUAAAAACUGCCCCACUCUUGACUUCGGGGGAUUAUGCAAUACUUUCUCUGGUGUGACUGAACCCUAAGCUGCCUACGUAUCUUGUGGUGACAAGAAUAAGGUUGAACGUAGUUCAAAAGACAAAGUUAUUUUUUCUUCGUCUUUUUUUAUUUUUUAUUCUUCUUCUUUUUUUCUUUUCUUUUUCUUCUUUUUGUCUUUUCUUUUUCUAUUUCUUCUUUUUCUCUUUUCUUUUUCUUUUCUAGUUCCUAACUCUACUUAUGAUUCCAAAAGAGGGGUAUGAAAUAAAACAAAUUAAGGCUCAAAAGGGGUAGCAAAAGAUAAAAGUAUUUGGGUAGCAGAAUAAAAAGCCUUAAUGCCAAGUGUAUACGUGCAAUUGAAGAUAAGCAAAGAAAUCAUGCAUUUUAUCUAUGGAGGGCAUCAACACAAACAAAAAAGUUUCAAUGGGCAAUACCUUUGUCUCAAUGAAUGAACCUUGCCGAUUCGAAGCAGAUUGACUCAACCUUAUCUUGGUGUGGAAAACACAUUGCAGCACUGGCUUAUUUGCCUAAAACUACUUGAGAGACAUUUCCUUGUAGUAUUCUCUUAUCAACCUUUUGAUUUCCCAGAUUACUGCCUCGGCUUCACUCAAUUAAAAGUUCAGGUCAUCUCAGAAUGCGUGAUCCUUUAAUUGUUUCCUCAAACGCAUCAUUUUAUCAUAAUCAAAACUGUGCCAUUGCUUCAUGAUUAGAAUAACUUUCAAGAUCAUGCUGAGAAUUAUGUGUGCAUUCCAUGUCACUAGAGUCGACAUGAAAAGAUUUAUGAAAAAAUGACCUAUCAAAAAUUGACUAGAAUUAACAGAAAAUAGGAGAUUGCAUUAGACAGAUAUUGGCCCAAGUUUCAGUGGAGUUUUGAAGAUCGACAAAUAAAUUGAUAAAAGGACCUGGUUCAUCUUGUACUACACAGUCUGAAUCAACCAGUGCAUAUUCAGAGCACGUGAGGAAGAUAAUGCACCAAAGAUCAUGCAUCAAUAUCUUCUGAACAUAAUCGAAAAGAUUGCAUUUGGGAUAAGGAGGACAGUCUCCUUAUGUGAAGAGAACUUAAUCCUAAGUUAGGAUAAUAGUUUGAGUUUGUGUUGGCUAAGGACUUGAAUUGUGUACUGAUGAGAAGUGGAGUCUUAAUCAAACUCUAUCUACUAACUCAAUAUAUGAUUACGUUAGUUCUCUUUUACAGGAAAAACACACAAACAGAAGUAAAGAAUAUUCGAGAGAAAAAAGAGCGAGUCCAAUAUACGAGUGUGUUAGUUCACUUUUACAGGCAACACACACAACCAGAAGUAAAGCAUAUUUGAGAGAAAAAAUAGUGAGUCUAAUUUGCAAGCAAUAUAUGCAAGUUACAAGUGUGCAGGCCUACAGCUACAUGAACCUAGAGAAGAACCAGUUCUAUGUGAGUGUUUUAUUUCUAGUUAAAUUGUAGUUCGUUUGUAUAUUGUACCUUUCAGCUUUCCUAGAAGCAAUUGUAUUAAGUACGUUUGUCAUCAAGUUAGAGUUAACUUGAUAGUGUCACAGCAACUGAGGCUGUGUGCUAUACUAGGAUUAGAGUUUAAUCCUUAGGUUUAAGAAGGGUUUUGCAAAUGCUGUUUUGGCUCAUUGAUUUUUAGUGGAGUUUGGGAAAAUCCUACUGAGUAAUAGAUCGUGGUUUUUCACCUUUUGAGCCAAGUGUUUUCCACGUAAAAAUGUCUGUGCACUUUACUUUCAGUCCAUUAUUUCGCAAACUGCAGUAGUCAGAACACUUAGAAGAACGAGGUUCUUCUAACGUGGAAAUUAGGUACCGCACAAAUCACCCCCCUCUUGUGUGUAUUGACGUUUAUUAACAUCAAUUAGUAUUAGAGCGGGCUAGCCUUGAAGAGGCUAACACCUUAUGAGAAGAUCAAGAUGAGUGCACCACCUGGGAACUGGGAAGGACAAUUUACUAAAGGCUUCCACUCUUUAAUGGGCUCUACUAUUCUUGGUGGAAAAAUAGAAUAAAAGACCACAUCAUGGGUGAAGAUUACAAACUUUGGUACAUCAUCACUGAUGGUCCUCUUGCUACAACCAAUAAGAAUGCCGAAGGAAUGGAUGUUCCAAAAAAUAGAGCUGAUUGUACCGCUGAAGACCUAAGGAAGUGGGAGAAAAACGCAAAAGCCAAGAAAUGGCUAGUGUGUGGACUUGGCCCUGAUGAGUACAGUAGGAUUCAAGGCUGUACAACUGCCAAGGAGAUUUGGGACACUUUACAAGAGGCUAGUGAAGGAACACCUCAGGUGAAGAGGUCCAGAGGAACUCUACUGUAUUCUCAAUAUGAGAAUUUUACUAUGAAGUAUGACCAGGGAAAUUUGGGACACUUUACAAGAGGCUCAUGAAGGAACACCUCAAGUGAAGAGGUCAAGAGGAACUUUAAUGUAUUCUCAAUAUGAGAAUUUUACUAAGAAGGAUGGUGGAACUAUCCAAGAGAUGUAUAGUAGGUUCACUACACUGACAAAUGAACUUGAGUCUCUUGGAAGGGUUAUUCUGGAAAAAGACAAGGUAGAGAAGAUUCUAAGUAGAGUUUCGCCAAUCUCCAGGGAAAGCAAAAUCACUUUCAUUCAAGAAUCCAAAAAUAUUGCAACUCUGAAAUUGGAUGAACUGAUUGGAAAUUUUACUGCCUAUGAAUUGAGAAGGCAGACUAUGACCUAACUAGAGUUUUGCAAAUUUCCUAGGAAAGCAAAAUCACUGCCAUUCAGGAAUCCAAAAAUAUUGCUAGUCUGAAAUAGAAUGAACUGAUUGGUAAUUUGACUUCUUAUGAAUUGAGAAGGCAAACUAUGAAGAUGGAUGCUCCAAAGAAAGAAAGAAGUCUGGCUCUCAGAACCUCAGAAGGAUCAGAUCAUGAAGAUGAUGAGAUGGCAAUGAUAACCAAAGACUUCAACAAGUAUCUUAUGUGAGGCAAUGGUUCUUCAAGAGGAUCAACAUUCAACAAACCUAGGGAUCCUGAGAAGCAGACAAACGAUGGUUGAUUUAAAUGUGGAAAGAUAGAUCACAUGAUCAAGAAUUGCCCUCAAUUUGAGAUUGAGUGGAAGAAAGAAAGAGCAGAAAGAAGAAACAGGAAGAAGGAACAAGUUCAACCAAGGAGAAACAAAGGUACUACCAAAGCAAUGUUUGCUGCAUGGAGAGACACGUCAGAUGAAGACUCAGAAAAUGAAGCUGAAGAUGAGCAAACUCUUAUGGCCAUAAGAGAAUCAGAAGAUGAACAGGAGGUAAGUAUUCUAUCUUAAAGAAAAUAUUAAAUUCAUGUCUAAAGAAAAAUUGGCUGAACUCUUGACUUCAUAGAUGAGUCUGAAAUAAUAAACAGUAAGAAGAUGUUCUGUCUAGGGAUUGUGCAAUACUAGAAGAAAAAUGGAAAAGAUUAGAAACUAGGGUUGAUGAGAGUAAUAACUUAAAUACUGAGUUAAAGAACCAGGUUUUUCAACUCGAAAACAGUGUCCUAGAACUCAAGUCUGAAAACUUGAAACAAAAAAUAGGGACAGGAAAGAAAAAGGCUGAUCAAUCAUUUCUCACACUAGAAGAAAAUUUAGGAAAAAUGUAAGAUGAGAUUUGAUAAGAGUUGGAGAAAAAGGCUGAUCAAUCAUUUCUCAUACUAGAAGAAAAUUUAGGAAAAAUGUAAGAUGAGCUGUAUAGGAAAGAUGAAUCAAUCAAGGUCCUUAAAGAAGAAUUAGGAAAGGUGAAGCAUGAACUAGGUAGAACAUGCAAAUGGAACAAGGCUUCUGAUGCACUCUCCUGGCUGCAAAAGCAUCACAGCAGCAACAAGAGAGGACUUGGGUUUGGGAUACAAGCUCCAAAAUGGGAUCCAAAAAACAAGUACGUCACUCUUCCUGAGAAUAAGAUCUGUAAACAUUCUGGUAAGACUGGCCAUUACAAAAAUGAAUGUAAUGCAAAAGAAGUUUGGGACUCAAGCUGCAAAAUAGGAUCUCAUAAACAAGUAUCUCACUCUUCAUGAGAACAAGAUCCGUAUACAUUGUGGUAAGACUAACCAUUACAAAAAUGAAUGCAAUGCAAAAGAAAAGGCCAGUCAAGGAAAGCACAAUCUGCCUGGCUGGGCAAAGAAAAAUUUAAUUCAUCCUUUUGCCCAUACAAAGGGACCCAAACUAGUUUGGGUUCCUAAUACUAACCCUUGAUUUCAUUUUGCAGGUCCAAGUGAAAGGAAAUAGCCAAAUUUGGUACAUGGGUAGUGGCUACUUAAAACAUAUGGCUGGUAACAAUGACUGGUUUCUUUCACUUGAGAACCUAAAUUGUCAGAGUGUGUUAAUUAAUGAUCCCCUCCUUUGGCACAAAAGACUUGGUCAUGCUAGUUUAAAUCAAUUAAACAAAUUAGUAUCCAAGGACUUGGUGAUAGGGUUACCUAAUAUCAAGUUCAAGGAAGACAAAAUUUGUGAGGCAUGUGCAAAGGGGAAGCAGGUAAGGUCAUCCUUUAAACCCAAGAAAAUGGUAAGCUCAUCCAAGACGUUGGAACUGGUUCAUAUGGAUCUCUAUGGUCCAACGAGAGCCAUGAGCAGAGGUGGUAAAAGAUAUGUUAUGUUGCUUGUUGAUGAUUAUUCUAGAUUUACAUGGAUGCUGUUUCUAACUUCUAAAGAUGAAGCAUUUGAAAUGUUCACAGCGUUUAUUAGAAAAAUCUAGAAAUAAUUAGGAAAUCAACUUGCAUCCAUUAGAUAUGAUCAUGGAACUGAAUUUGAAAAUGCAAAGUUUCCUGAAUUUUGUGAUGAAAAUAGGAUAGAUCAUAAUUUCUCUGCCCCUAGGACUCCUCAUGAAAAUGGGGUAGUUGAAAGGAAGAACAUGACCCUUGAGGAUAUGGCAAGGACCAUGUUACUUUCCAGUAAGAGGGUAGUUGAAAGGAAGAACAUGACACUUGAGGUUAUGGAAAGGACCAUGUUACUUUCUAGUAGACUACCUCAUAGUUUUUGGGCAGAGGCAAUAAAUAUUGCAUGCUAUAUAAUAUACAUGUGUAUAGCCAUACCACUGGUAGAGAAAACUCCCUAUGAGUUACUUAAAGGGAGAAAACCAAACAUAUCCCACCCAAGGGCUUUUGGUUGCAAGUGUUAUAUACACCUUAAUGGCAAAGAUUCCCUUGGUAAGUUUGAUCCCAGAAAUGAUGAGGGAGUGUUCUUGGGAUAUUCUUCACAUAGCAAAUCUUAUAAAGUGUUUAAUAAAAGAACUCUAUGUGUAGAAGAAAGUGUACAUGUUGUUUUUGAUGAAACUAACAUUAUUUCUGAGAGACAGAAACAUGAAGAUGAAGCCAUUGGACUGGUAAGACAGCUGAUUCAAGUUAAAGCACAAGUCAAGGAGGCAUCCAAGGAAUGAUCAGGUGAUGUAACAGGUCCUUUCACCCUGGGCAACCUAACAAGGGGAACCAAUAUGAGAGAAACUGCACAAAAUCUUUUAAAGGAUCCUACACUUGAACCUGUUCCUCUACAACAUAAUAAUGAAGGAGCAGCUAGCAGAAACCAGUUGGUGGGAAAAUCUUGCAGGUACCUGAGUUCUCACCCCAUUGAGAACAUAAUCAAUGAUCCCACAUCUGGAGUCAAGACUAGAUCACAACUGAAUAUGUGCAUUUGAUGCCUUUUUGUCCCUAAUUGAACCUAAGAAUGUGAGUGAAGCUCUACAAGAUGUGGAUUGGAUCAAUGCUAUGCAAGAAGAAUUCAAUCAGUUUGAAAGAAGCCAAGUCUGGCACUUGGUACCAAGACCUAAGGACAGGUCAGUCAUUGGGACAAAAUGGGUCUUCAGAAAUAAGCUGGAUGAAGAUGGAACAGUUACAAGAAACAAGGCAAGGUUGGUGGUUCAAGGUUAUAGUCAAGAAAGACUAGAUCACAACUGAAUAUGUGCAUUUGAUGCCUUUUUGUCCCUAAUUGAACCUAAGAAUGUGAGUGAAGCUCUACAAGAUGUGGAUUGGAUCAAUGCUAUGCAAGAAGAAUUCAAUCAGUUUGAAAGAAGCCAAGUCUGGCACUUGGUACCAAGACCUAAGGACAGGUCAGUCAUUGGGACAAAAUGGGUCUUCAGAAAUAAGCUGGAUGAAGACGGAAAAAUUACAAGAAAUAAGGCAAGGUUUGUGGUUCAAGGUAAUAGUCAAGAGGAAGGCAUCGAUUAUGAUGAGACUUUUGCUCCAGUUGCUAGACUUGAAGCAAUUAGACUUCUCAUAGCCUUUGCAGCACAUAUGGAAUUAACUCUUCAUCAAAUGGAUGUGAAAAGUAACUUCCUAAAUGGCUAUCUCAAAGAAGAAGUGUUUGUGAAGAAACAUCUUGGAUUCGAAAGCAAAGAAUGUCUUGAUCAUGUAUACAAAAUGGAUAAGGCUGUUUAUGGUCUCGAGCAAGCUCCAAGAGCUUGUAUGAAAGAUUGUCAAAAUUCAUUCUGGAGCAUGGGUACAAAAGAGGUAAAAUUGAUAGUACCUUGUUCCUAAAGGAAAAAGGUAAAGAUCUUCUUGUUGUACAAAUUUAUGUCGACGGCAUAAUUUUUGGGGACACCACAGAGAGGUUGAGCAAGGAUUUUGCAAAACUAAUGGGCAGUGAAUUUGAAAUGAGUAUGUGGGAGAACUCAAUUUCUUAUUAGGGUUGCAAAUCAAACAAAGUCCAAACGGUACCAUGAUUCAUCACCAGAAGUACACAAAACAACUGAUCAAGAAAUUUAAAAUUGAAGAAUACAAAGAAAUAUAUACUCCUAUUGCAACUGCCACAAAGUUAGAUGAUGAUGAACCAGGUUCAAUAGUUGAUCAAAAGUUUUACAAGGGUAUGAUUGGGUCACAUUUGUAUCUUACUACCAGCAAACCUGACAUUGUUUUCAGUGUAGGACUUUGUGCUCGUUUCCAAGCAAAUCCAAAGGAGUCACACUUGACUGCAGUCAAAAGAAUAUUAAGAUACCUAAAAGGCAAAACUGAUAUGUGCUUGUGGUAUCCCAAAGGUAGUAAUUUUUACUUAAUUGGAUAUGUUGAUACUGAUUAUGCAGGUUAUAUAGCGGAUAGGAAGGGUACUUCAGGUAUGGCACACUUCCUAGGAUCUUGUCUUGUAUCUUGGGCUACCAAAAAGCAGAAUUCAGUAGCCCUCUCUACUGCUGAAGCUGAGUAUGUUGCUGCAGCAUCAUGUUGUGCUCAGUUGCUGCGGAUUAAGCAACAAUUGGUAGAUUUUGGAACUGAAGUGGGAUGCAUACCUAUCUUUUGUGAUAACACUAGUGCAAUCAGUAUGACGAAGAACCCUGUUCAUCAUAAAAGGACUAAGCACAUAGAUGUUAGACACCACUUCAUAAGGCACAACUAUGAAAAAGGGCUAAUUUCCAUAGAAUUCUGUGCCACUGAUAAACAAAUAGCUGACAUCUUCACCAAGGCACCAAGUAGAGAAAACUUUGAGAGGAACAUGUUGGAAUUAGGGAUGAUUAAGAUCACCUAAGAGGUCAUGUUCAGAAUGCACAAUGAAUUUCUUUUUUGGUUAGUAGUUCUUAAAUCUUUCAAUAUUAGACUAAUUCCUACUCAGCUUAAUACUUUUAAAUAAGUAUACUCUUGUGACAUGUGGUUAUAUAAUUCACUAAUCUCUUACAAAAUUUCUAUUCUAACAUUUGAGGCAUGAUCAAGAGAAGUGUCAUAUGAAGAACCUGGUUCAUGAAUAUGUACUCAUGAGGAAGGUUAGGUAUGUUUCUAUACAUUGCACAAUUAGAAAAUUUUAAUUUUCAAUCAUGAGCAAGAGUCGUAGAAACUCCAAUCGUCUCAAAAUUCUAUCCGUUGGAAGCCAAUUGGACCAGUUUCUUGUAAUUAGAAUUCUAAGAAUAACGGAACUCUUUUCCUAAACCUUGGGAAUUUAAUUAAUUCUAGGUAGACCAGAACUCUACAACGAUAAGACGUCUACUGACAUCUGAAAAAGUGCCUUCUCUGAAACAAUAAUUACCCCUCUUUAAAAGAUUCUUAUAUCAUAUCACAACCGCCAUUAGCUUCUCAAAUCUCUGAUCAUUUCUUUUGUCUCCAAAACCCUCAAAAAUUACCAAAUUAUUUUAAGCCUUCCACAAAUUCAUCAUCCAAAAUAAGUAAUCCUCAAGUUAAUCCAGGAAACCCACCACCAUUGUCACCCAACACCACCUUAUCCUCUACCCCUCCUGUUGAAUCCCCAAAAUCAAGAUUUCGUCGGACAAAAAUGAUAGCUAGGAAAGCUGUAGAGACUGGGCCUUUGAGAAAAGCUUUAAACAAGAGGUUGCAAGCCAGUCAAAAGAAAGAACCUCAAGCAAAAGUCACUGAGUCCAGCUCCGAGUCGGAUCAAUACAUCUUUGCAAGUGAGGGAGUUGAACCUGGGUCUUUCAAAAAUUAUGCACCUCAAGAAAACCCAACAGAGGUACGAUCCUGUCCUGUUCCUGUGGAUGUAGGUGAAAAGGGAGAAAAUAGAUAUGUCUUGAUAAGGACUGUUAAGGAUAUUUCUCAAUAUGAGUUUGUAAAACAAAUGAAGAAAAAGAGGAAAAAGGUGUUGCCUAUUGUGGAAGUGGGGGAAAUGGGUAUCACAUUCAGGGUGAAGUGAAGCUGGGAAGCUGCGGAAGGGUUGGUAGACUUAAGAAAACAAACUAGUAAACCUAGUCCAUUAGUGGAGGAAACCUUGGCUGACAUGAUGAAGAAGGUGGGGAAUAGCUAUGAUCCCAAUAAACGAAAGUCUUCUUCACAUAAAACUCCUGCUGCUACAAAACCAACAAAGAAAUCCAAGACCGCAUCACCCAAGGUUGCUCCUAGGGGUAGAACAACAAGAAGCGAAGUAAGAGAGUGUGAAGCUGAGUUAAAGAGGGCACUAGAGGAGAGUAGGAAGAUAAGAAUAGAAAAGGGAAAAGGGAAGCUUGAUGAGAGUUCAGAAAUGUGGCUGAGGAGGAUGAAGAGGUGAUGGAACAGGUCCAUCCAGCAAAACAAACUACUGAGAAGGCUCUUAUUGCUAAAUCUAAGGAGACUAGGACUUCUUCCAAGAAGUCUUCAAAAGUUGUACCUGCUGAGUCCUCCCUUGCAAAAAGAACAAGAUCUGCCUCUAAAGGCAAACAAGUGAAAAUGGUUGUAGAAGAAAGAAGAAGAAGAUUACUCUGAGAAGAAGACUUUCUUUCUAACCAAUGAAUGAUGUUUUUUUGGUUCUUGUUAAUCUUGUUCUUAAUAGUUAUUUCUGAGUUGGUUUUUGAUUAACUUGAAGAAUAUGUGUUCAUUUGCAGUUGCCCCAGCGGCCAUGAGUAUAAAUCAACUUCAAGGAUUCAUAUUAUUUAUGCAACUUUUCGAUGAUACCAAAAGGGAGAAGAUAUUGUGCUUAAAAUAUUUUCUCUGAACUAGUGAUGUUUAUGACCUAAAUCUGGCCUCCUUAAUGAUACGUUAAAGCAUUUUCAAAGUGUUGAUUUCAGCCAAGUUUACAGGUUCCCAGAUCACAAUAAGCAUAGAGUUUGUCAUCAUCAAAAAGGGGAAAUUUUUUGGCCCAAGUUACAGUGGAGUUUCGAAGAUUGACAAAUAAACUGAUAAAAGGACCUGGUCCAUAUUGUACUACACAGUCUGAAUAAACCAGUGCACAUGCAGAGCACGUAAGGAAGAUAAUGCACCAAAAAUCACACAUCAAUAUCUUCUGAGCAUAAUCGAAAAGGUUGCAUUUGGGAUAAGGAGGAUAGUCUCCUUACGGGAAGAGAACAUAAUCCUAAGUUAGGAUAAGAGUUGGAGUUUGCGUUGGAUAAGGACUUGAAUUGUGUACGAAUGAGAAGUGGGGUCUUAAUCAAAUUCUAACUACUAAGUAAAUAUAUUAUUGUGUUAAUUCUCUUUUACAGGCAACACAUACAAGCAGAAGUAAAGCAUAUUUGAGAGCAAAAAGUGUGAGUCUGAUUUGUAAGAAAUAUAUGCAAAUUACAAGUGUGUACGCCUACAGCUACAUGAAACUAGAGAAGAACCAGUUCCAUCUGAGUGUUUUAUUUCUAGUUCAGUUGUAGUAGGUUUGUAUAUGGUACCUUUCAGCUUUCCUAGAAGCAAAUGUAUUAGGUACUUUAUGUCAUCAAGUUAGAGUUAACUUGAUAGUGUCGCAACAGCUGAGGCUGUGUGCCACACUUGGAUUAGAGUUUAAUCAUUAGGUUUACAAAGAGUUUUGUAAAUGGUGUUUUGGCUCAUUGAUUUUUAGUGGAGUUUGGGAAAAUCCUAUUGAGUAGUAGUUCGUAGUUUUUUCACCUUUUGAGCCAGGUUUUUUCCACAUAAAAAUAUUUGUGCACUUUACUUUUAGUCUAUUAUUUUGCAAACUGCAGUAGUUAGAACACUUAGAAGAACCAGGUUCUUCUAACGCAAAAAUUAGGUAUCACACAAAUAACCCUCCCUAUUGUGUGGUAUUGACGUUUAUUAACAUCAACAGAUGAUUAAAGGGUUUGAAUAAGACAAGAAAAAUAGACAUGGGUUACAACCCUGGAACAUUCCUAAAUAACACUAGACGAGUUACUACGACUAAACAAACUUGACAAAAUAAGAAGAAGAAGAAGAAUUUGAGCCACAAGAUAAUAUCUGGAUUACAAUCCUGAAAUAACGUGGAUAAACACAAAUGAGCAAAAUAAACUACCAAAACUCCUCCCUGGCCAGCCAAUAAAGGAGUGUCUCUCCAAUUACCAAGCUUCACAUCUUAGCCACUGGGUUGCACAUCAAAAUUACCGGGACCUUCACCAAUUUCAACAUCAUUAACUUCAGUCAGCAAGUUCUCGAGAGGAUUCUCAUACUGCAUGUCACCAUGCAUCUUCCCAACAAUGUGUGCAUCAUCAUGUGCAGGUAAAGGAUUCUGUGUAAUGUUCUGGGUGUCACUGUCUUGGAACACAGUUAUCCCUUCUUGAAUCAUUCUUUCUAUCUCCCUUUUCAAAGAAUGUCAAUCUUCAAUGCUAUGCCCUCGAACAUUAGAGUCGUACAUGCAUCGCAUUAUAGAUCAAAAUCUUUUGCAUAUGGGUCUGGAGUAUAGCCAAGGAGCAGCUCAAUCAGGCAAGAUUGUUUUAGCUUUUCAAUCAAGCUUGUGUAGGAUUCUCUGAUUGGCGUGAAACUAUUUCUUUGCCUUUGUUCCCCUCUAUUCCCCUGUUUCCUAGGGUUUUUGGGUGCUCGAAAAUGUUGUGAAGGCGAAAGAGUAUUAUGUGAUGCUGGUGCUCGCCAUAUGUAGUGACCCAAUGGCUGGACAGAGGAUCGAACAUAGUUAGAGUGAUAGUACUGAAGUGGAUUUUGUAGAGCUCGGGGAAAGGUUAGGGUUGGGGUUGAGGUUGAGAAUAUUGGUGAGACAGACUCUUGGGCCAUGUCGUGAUCUUGAGACAACCAUGGCAAUAUUAUCAUGUUUCUUCUGACCCAGAAAGCUUCCUGUGUCAUUCUAAAUUGCCUAUGUUGUGGCUUUUAAGGUAGAAUAGCUCACAAUCUUGCUUGACUUCACUCCCUCUUCCACUACUUCUCCCAUAUUUACCACAUAAUUGAAAGGCUUACCAACGACUGAGAUCAAGUGGCCAUAGUAAGUGAGCUACAGGGUUCGAAGAAAGUAUUUAACCAUCUUAUCUUCUUCCAUCGGAGGAUUGACUUGUGCAACUUGCUCCCUCCAUCGGAACCCAUAUUCUCUAAAGCCUUCACUGAGUUUCUUUUCCGUGUUGGUGAGAGAUAAUAGAUCCGGGACAAUGUCUAUAUUGUAAUGAAAGUGCUGGGCGAAGGCUUGAGCCAUAUCAUCCCAUGUGUACCGUCCGUUGGUGCCCUGGUGGGUGUACCAUUCUAGAGCUGCCCCACUCAGACUCUGGCUGAAGUACGCCAUCAGUAAUUCGUCCUUUCCCCCAGCGCAUCUCAUCUUGCUGCAAUAACCUCUCAAAUGGGCUACAGGAUCCCCAUGUCCAUCAUACAAGUCAAACAUGGGCAUCUUGAACCCGACAGUCAAUUGGACAUAAGGGAACAAACACAAAUCCUUAUAAGCCAUACUCACCUAGCUUUCUAUCCCCUGCAUAUUUCUCAAUGAUUGCUCCAUUAUCUUUACUUUCUUAAACAUUUCCUCUUGUUCCGCAUUCCUGGGUUGUUUCUCAAUUUCAACAUAAGGCUCAAAGUAAUGAGGGUAAGAGUAAGGAUCUAGGACUUUGAAGGUGUGUUCAGGGGCAUAGUAUUGUGUAUCUGGAGCUGCGCUUGCAGUAGUUAUGGCCGGUGGAGCAUGAAAUGUUUGGGAGGAAGUGCCAGGGUAAUUGUGGUUAGGGGUAAAGUCCGAUGCAUGUUGAGUAAAUAGGUGAACAGUAUUGGGCAUCUGGGAUUGGGAGAGUGGCGGGAUAAUUGCAUGGUUCUCUGUGUAGUUAGUGGGGAACGAAGGCGGAGGAUGCCCCAUGAUCCAAAACUAGUAAAUUUCUGCCAUCUGCUAUUUCAAUUUUUGGACCUCCUCAUUCAAUUCAGAUUCCGACUUCUCAACCUCCCUCGACGGGUCAACAACUGUUAUGUCCAAGUCUUUGCUAGCCAUAGCUACUUGACUCUUUGACCUUGUGUUAUACUGAUGACUCACUAGAAUGCCAAAAACUAACUACCCUCUGUUAUAAUAACAAUGAAAGUAACAAAGAGGUCAAAACAGAGCCAACAUGUUAGCUUUGAGCAUUUAUCAGAUAGAAAUAUCACAUCGCGUGCAAUACCCCUAGCAAGAAUUAACGGUUCUAGAAUGGCUUCGAGGGUCACAAGGUCAUUUGGCAUCAUCCCAGUUUCACUCUUCUUGCCCCUUUUCCUCUUAAUAUUUUUUCUCUUAACGCUUCUUGGUUUUUCAUUAACUUUUUCCUUCUUCUCUUUCCGAUUAUCGCUCUUUUCUUUCUUCUCACUUCAUGUCCCUCAAUUUCAUCUUUUUCAUUCAUUUUUCAAAUUCAAAACAGGAGGUACGAUAAUGAGAGGCUCGACAAACUAAACUAUUCUAUGAUAGCUCUGACACCAAGUAAAUGAAUGAAUACUGCUGUACAAGACAAGUAAGAGAAAGCAUGAAAACAGACUCAAAAUAUAGAAAGGCUCCUUAAGCAGCUCCUGAAUGCCAUCCUGGGGUAUCAAUCAUGCUCAAGUUCUGGUACAUAAAUCCAUACCUGAAUGAGAAAAAUAAUACCAAAUAGAUAAGUGACUCGUGACACUAUGUGAGACCACAAUACCUCUUAUUGGACACAUGCAAGAUAUGAUUGGACUAUUUUUGCAAAUUAACCUAUGUGGCCCGGAGUGGCUAGAAGUGAAAACUCAACAAAUGCGACUACCCAGAUAUGAAAAUAAUACCUUAAUAAUGCUUAUAUGGAUUCAACUCCCAAUAAUCAUGGCCCAAAAAUUAAUUUGCAGAAAUGAACCAUUUCGCAAAAACGACCGAUAUGGCCAUAAGUGGCUAAAGAUGCAAACUCAAAAGGACAGACCUUAAAGUCAUAUGACACAUGGUUGUGGACUUCAAAUCCUAAAACAUGGGUUAUUGAACCACUUUUGCAAAAAUGACCCCAUUUUGCAAGAAUGACCGACGGGGCCAAAAAUGGCUAAACAUGCAAAAUAUGGCUAAGACCCCGCAAAGUCAAUAACCUAAAACUUACUAGGAAGAUCGGACCCUAUGUGGGUUGCCUAAAUAUCAUGUCUCGAAAGACGAGAAUUAGGAUCGCGUAGUUCGGGAAGAUUGGACACAAGAGAAAACCUUUAAAAAAAUGCAACUAAUUUGGAGAAUCAUAUUUUUUGUCUUUUUGAGAAAUGAUGAAAAAUGUAAAAUCUUUUUGGAUUUUUUCCUCCUUUUUUGAGUUUUGGAAAAUGAUUAAAAAUCUAAAAUCUUUUUAGAUUUUAUUUUUUUUCUUUUUUUUCUUUUUUGGAACACAAUAGAUAAGUGUAAAAUCUUUUUGAAUUUUCUUUUUUCAUUUUUUUUGAAUUUUGGAAAAUAAUGGAAAAGUAUAAAAUCUUUUUGAUUUUUCAUUUUUAUUUUGAUUUUGAUUUUUGUAAAACUAUGAAAGAAAAAUACGAAUGCGCCCUACUUGCAUCAUUUUUCACCCUUCUUUGCCAACCAUCGAUCCGCUAAAUGACCAUUUUACUCUCAAAGAUACAACAUGCAUCAUAUUGGGAUGAUUGAGAGUCUUUUUGGGCCACAUAUCCAUUUUGACAAAAUUUGGAUAGCCUUCCUGUCACGAUCCUAGUUCACAAUUCGUGAACAUGUCAUGAUGGCACCUAGUCACUAUGACUAGGUAAGCCUGAAAGUGCAGAAACAAGAUCAUUUGCGGUAAAUAAUUAUAAAACUGGAUAAACUUAAGGAAAACUGUAUAUAAGUGUUAUUCGGUAUAUACAACUCAGCAGCACAAGUCUAAAUCAACAAUCCCAAAACCCAAAAAUUCAGGGGCAACACAUGUUAUAAAAAUGUAUAAUAAAGGGCUCUCAACUCUACAAGCAUCUACAUCAAAAAAAUACAGGAAGCUAAGCACCAUUUGAUAGAAUAAGAGGGAGACUGUUCGGUCUCCGGAUGCGGCAGAUAUACCUCAAGUCUCUGUAGCUCUCCCUAAUCACUAAUAGUGCACCUGAGUGGAUGUACCUGGAUUUGCACAUCAAAAAUAUGUGCAGAAGAGGCGUAAGUACACCACAGUGGUACUUAGUAAGUGUCAAGCCUAACCUCGAUCGGGAAGUGACGAGACGGUUAGGACCCUACUGAGAUAAAAUAUAUUAAAUAAUAAGAUAACGAAAAUAGUUUAAAUAAAGUCUACAGUGAGGAUCUAAACAUGAAAAAAGAGUAAAAGCAGUAACAUAAAGCAGAAACCAGACAAAUGAAGGAAACACAACUCGCAACAUGGAUAGUAACCGAGGAUCUCCUGGUAUCCCGAGGAUCUCUCGGUAUCCUCAUAUUAUACACGAGGGAUCUCUUGGUAUCCUGAGGAUCUAUUGGUAUCCUCAUCUUAUACACGAGAGAUAUCUUGGUAUCCUGAGGAUCUCUUGGUGUCCCUAAUAUAUAUAAAACAUAUGUGCCAGGGAUCUUUUGGUAUCCCGCACUCUCUAUCCAGAACAUAACACUUACAAGGGAUCUCCUAGGAAACGGUCCCGUAGUCCCAAAUUAAAUGCCCAAUAACAACUCAUAAUCCCGGAAUAAAUGUUAAAGUAAGAACAUGUAAUAGUAAAUUCUAGCCUAACAUGCUUCACGGAGUACAAACAAUACAGUUAAACAAAUAAGCAAGUAAGUCAACUAAACAUGCUUCUUGAAGCUAGCACAGUUUAAACUCACAAUCCAAAAUGAACAAAUAAACAACAAUCUCAAUUUAAAUAUUGCAAGUAGAAACAUAUUUACAACAAUUAGCUCAAGUACGCGCGCGUCACCUCACGUACGAGGCAUUCAAAUAUCAAAGAUCAUUUCCUAAGUGGAAAGGUCUCCCACCCAAGGUUAGAAAAGCCACUUACCUCGAACCGGCUCAAAACUCAACUAGGAACCACGCCUUUGCCAUGAGUAUCCGACUCCAAAUGGAUAAACUAUAUUCAAUUCAAAUAUAUAUCGUAAAUAACAUUGCAAAACAACUGAUUCCGCUAUUAAAUUUAAAGCAAAGGCGCGAAAAUAGGUAAAAUAACCAAAAUUCCCCUGAGGCCAACGUCUCAGAAUUGAAUAAUUUAUACAUUUUCCGAACCCUCAUACUCUCACGAUUCUAACCAUAUAAAAAUCUCCCAAAUCGGAGGUUAUAUGCCCACUAAAAACUCAAUAGUUUAGCCUAUGAAGUUUCACCCAAAUUUUCCAAUUUUUUAACCUAAAUUCAAAUUUUAUUGAUGGAUUUUACUACAAAAUGAUGAAAUAUAACUAGAAAAGAUUAGAGAAACGUUACCCAAUAAUCUUCUCUUCAAAACCCUCUAAAAUCGCCCUUCCUCGAGCUCAAUUUGAUUCUUUCUAACUUAUGAAAACUAACCCUCGAAUUUCCCUUUCCUGAACAGUGAUUACACUUCUGCGGUGCAGUCCCUUUUAUGCAGAAUUCUGGUCACUUCUACAAAUUCCUUUAAAAUACAAAAUCUGCUUCUGCGAUUCCCAUCUCGCAGAAGCAGAUUCGCUACUGUCGAAAAUUCUUCCGCUUCUGCAGUUGCUGAGGGAGAUGCCCAGCCCACUUCCGCUAUGGCCUAACCCACUUCUGUAGCUCUGCUUCAGCGGUUCCCAAGCCGUAGAAGCAAAAAUAGUUGAGGACUGAAGAGUUCAGCUGCUGCAACAUUUUUCUAACUCCAAAAAUGCCUAGUUGAGCAUCCGAAACACACACGAGGCCCUCAGGACCUCAAUCAAACCCAUAGACACGUUCGAUAAAAUCAUUCAAACUUAUACUAAUCCUUAAAACACCUAAAAUAAUACCGAAAACUCGAAUUAAUCAAUGAUUUAAGCCUAAGAACUUCAAAUUUCAUCAAAACAUGCUUUCGAUCAAAAACCUAUCUAAAAGCAUGUCCGAAUGACCUGAAAUUUUGCACACACAUUCUAAAUGACAUGACGAAGCUACUGCAACUUUCGGUAUCUCAUUACGACCCUUGGAUCAAAAACUCACUAUCGGAGUGGAAACCUUAAAAAUUCAAACUUUAGCAUUUCAAGGCUAAAUAAGCUACGGACUUCCAAAAUAUAUUCCGGACACGCUCCCAACCCUGAAAUCACCUAAUGGAGCUAACAGAACUAUCAAUUUUCCAUUCCGAGGUCAUCUUCAUGUUGUUUCGACUAUGAACCACUUUCCAACACUUAAGCUAUUAUUUAGGGACUGACUGUCCCAAACUCUCUGAAACACAAUACUGAAUGUCCCGACAAACCAAAAUAGCAAAAAUGAACUUAGGGGAAGCAGUUAAUGGGGAAUCGGGGUGUAAAUUUCAAAAACGAUCGGCCGGGUCAUUACAUCUUCAUACACUUAAACAUUCGUUUGCCCUCGAACGAGCAUAUAGAACAUAGCUGAAGUACUGAAAAGAUGAGGCUAUCAGAUGCGCAUAACCCGCUGGAUCUCCCAAGUCUCCUCCUCGCUUGGCUAACUCCACCAUUGAACCUUUAUUGAAACAAUGUUCUUUAACCUCAACUUUCUGACCUGUCUAUCCAAUAUAGCCACUGGCUCCUCAACAUAAGAUAGAUCUUUGUCAAACUGGACUGAGGAUAAAUCCAACAUGUGUGCCGGAUCACCGGGAUACCUUCGGAGCAUCGAAACAUGAAAUAUCGCAUGAACCCCAACAAAACUGAGUGGUAAGGAAAGCACAUAAGCAACCUCCCCAACUCGCCUCAAAAUCUCAAAAGGACCAAUAAAUCUCGAACUCAACUUCCCUUUCUUCACAAAUGUCAUGACGCCUUUCAGAGGCAAAACCCGAAGCAGAACCCAUUCACUAACCAUAUAGGAAACAUCACGAACCUUGCAGUACACAUAAAUCUUCUCUCUAGAUUGGGUUGUACGGAGUCUAUCCUCAAUCACCUUAACCUUCUCUACCGCAUCCUGAACCAAAUCUGCGCGCAAUAGCCUAGCCUUACCCGUCUCAAACCAAACCAUUAGGGAUCUGCAUCUCCUAUCAUAUGAAGCCUCAUACGCCGCCAUCUGAAUACUGGACUGAUAGCUAUUUUUGUAAGCAUACUCUGCCAUUGGCAAGAACUAAUCCCAAGACCCUCCAAACUCAAUCACACACGCACGGAGCGUAUCCUCAAGAAUCUGAAUGGUGCGCUCGGACUGUCCGUCCGUCUGGGGGUGAAAUGUUGUGCUCAUCGUCACCUGAGUACCCAACUCGUGUUGAAUGGCUCUCCAAAACUGUGAUGGGAUUUGAGUACCUCUGCCCGAAGUAAUAAAAACUGGGAUGCCAUGCAGGCGAACAAUCUCCCCGAUUAAAUCUCUGUCAACCGCUUCGAUGAAUAAGUAGUACCCACGGGAAUGAAGUGCACAGCCUUGGUCAGCCGAUCAACAAAAACCUAAAUGGAAUUGAAUUUCCUCGCAGUCUGAGGGAGACCAACUACAAAAUCUAUGGUGAUCCUCUCCCAUUUCCAUUCCGGAAUCUCCAUCUGCUGAAGCAACCCACCCGGUCUGUGGUGCUCAGCCUUGACCUGCUGACAAUUUAGGCAUCUAAAUAUAAAACCCUUUAUGUCCUUCUUCAUCAUCCUCCACUAAUAGUGUUGUCUCAACUCCUGAUAGAUCUUCGUGGCACCCGGAUGGAUGGAAUAACGUAAACUAUGAGCCUCUGCCAAUAUCAACUCUCGAAUAUCAUCAAUAUAGGGUAAAAAAAUCCGACCCUGCAUCCUCUAACCCCGUCAACUCCAAUGAUCACAUCCCUGUAUCACCAUGCUAAACUAUGUCCCUAAGGACAAGUAAAUGAGGGUCAUCACACUGUCGAUCUCUAAUACGAUUGAACAAUGAAGACUGAGAUACCACACAGGCUAGAACCCGACUGGGCUCCGAAAGAUCAUAUAUCACAAGCUGGCUGGCUAAGGUCUAAACACCCAUCACCAUAGGCCUCUUUGAAGUUGGUAAAUAUUCUAAACUUCCCAAACACUCCCCCCGGCGACUCAAGUCAUCAGCUACCACAUUGGCCUUGCCCUGGUGAUAAAGAAUAGUAAUAUCAUAAUCCUUCAUCAACUCCAACCAUCUUCUCUAGCGCAAAUUUAGAUCUUUUUUCUUGAACAAGCAUUGAAAACUCUGAUGGUCAGUGCAAAUCUCACAAGUCACACCAUACAAAUAAUGACGCAGAUCUUCAAGGCAUGAACAAUAGCAGCUAACUCAAGGUCAUGGAAAGGGUAUUUCUUCUCAAGUGCCUUCAACUUUCUGGAUGCGUAGGCCGUCACCCUACCGUCCUGCAUCAUCACUGCUCCAAGGCCAACCCGUGAGGUAUCACAAUAAACUAUAUAGGACCCCGAAAUAGUAGGCAAUAUCAAAAUAGGGUUUGUAGUCAAGGCUGUCUUGAGCUUCCGAAAGUUCGCCUCACACUCCUUUGUCCACUAAAAUGGAGUAACCUCCUAGGUCAAUCUAGUCAUAGGGGAUGCAAUCGAUGAAAACUCCUUCACAAAUCGAUGAAAAUUCCUUCACAAAAUGAUGGUAAUAACCUGCCAUACCAAGGAGACUGUGAAUCUCUGUAGCGGUUGAGGGAAUGGGCCAACUCUGCACGGCCUCCACCUUCUUCGGAUCCACUUGAAUGCCCUCACUCGAUACCACAUGGCCUAGGAAUGCCACAGAACUCAACCAAAACUCACAAUUUGAAAACAUUGCAUAUAACUUCUUCUCUCUCUCAAGGUCUGAAGCACUGUUCUUGGGUGUUGCUCAUGAUAUUUCUGACUCCAAGUGUAUACAAGAAUAUUAUCUAUGAAAACAAUGAAAAACGAUUCGAUAUAGGGCCUGAAUACACUAUGCAUCAAAUGCAUAAAAGCUGUUGGGGCAUUAGUCAGCCCAAAUGACAUAACAAGGUCUUAACAAUCAGACUGAGUCCUGAAGGAAGUCUUCGAGAUAUUCGGCUGUCGAAUCUUCAACUGGUGAUAACUUGAGCGCAAAUCGAUCUUAUAAAACACAUGGGCGCCCUGAAACUGGUCAAAUAUAUCAUCCAUACGAGUCAAAGGAUAACGGUUCUUCACCGUAACCUUAUUCAACUGACGAUAAUCGAUACAUAUGCGCGUGAAACCACCCUUUUUCUUCAUAAACAGGACAGGAGCACCCAACGAUAAAAUAAUGGGUCGAGUAAAACCCUUAUCAAGCAAUUCCUAUAGUUGAUCCUUCAACUCCUUCAACUCAGGACGAUCCAUACGGUACGGAGGAAUGGAAAUGGGCCGAGUGUCAGACAACAAGUCAAUGCCAAAAUCAAUGUCUCUAUCAGGUGGCAUACCUAGAAGAUAAGCUGAAAACACAUUGAGAUAAUCCCGUACCACUGGAACAGAAUCAACAUAAGGGUUAUCAACACUGACAUCUCUCACAUAAGCUAAAUACGCAGCACACCCCUUCUCAACCAUACGUUGAGCUUCAAUAAAAUAGAUAACUCCUCUGGGAGUGUGAUCUAAAGUAUCACUCCACUCAAUACGCGAAAUACCUAGAAUAGCCAGCGUCACGGUCUUGGCGUGACAAUCAAGAAUAGCAUGAUGGGGCGACAUCUAGUCCAUUCCCAAAUUAAUAUCAAAGUUAACCAUAUCGAGUAACAAUAUAUUUGCUAUGGUCUCAAAACCACUAAUAGUAAUCAAACACGACCGAUAAAUGUGGUCCACAAUAAGAGAAUCUCCUACAGGAGUAGAAACAUAAAUAGGGGAACUCAAGGAAUCUUGGGCUAUACCCUAAUGUAAGAGAAAAAUAAGAAGACACAUAAGAAUAGGUGGAUCUUGAAUCGAAUAGAACCGAUGCAUUUCUAUGACAAACCAGUAUAAUACCUGUAAUGACAGAUAUGAGGAAACAGCCUCGGUACGAGCAGGAAUGGCAUAAUAUCUGGCCUAGCCUCUCUCUCAAAGGUGACCACUACCUCCCCGAUCUCCACCCCUAGUUAGCUGGGCAGAUGGGGUAGGAACUGUAGCUGUGAUCGUGGCCUGAGAACUCAUAGGAGCACGAUGUGGUUGAGCCGCCUGUGGAGGUGAACUCCUCCCAAGUCUAGGGCAAUCCCUCAUCACAUGAUGGGUAUCACCACACUCAAAAUAAGCUCUGGGAGGACGUGGUAUCUGUGACUGGCUAAGGCCAGGUCUGCUAGACUGACAUCUGAAAGCACCCCGUGCAGGAGGCGCGCUAGAAAACGGAGGUGCAUAGUAAGACUCCUAGGGUCCAUGAGGAGCUGGAGCACUGCUGGCUGAUGGAAGAUAUGAAUGAAUGGUAUAUAACCCCCACCAUGUCGACCUGUUGUUGGGGUACGGGAACCAGAGUAGUAGCUCGACUCUCGAGACCUCUUGGCCUCUCUCUUCUAUUGCUCCCUAGAGAGCAUACCUCAAUCCUCCUAGCAAUUCUGACUAGAUACUGAUAAGGAAUGUCAUCUCCAACUCUUGAGCCAUGGUAGAUCUCAUGGGUGGAAUAAAGCCCUCAAUGAUCUGGCAAACACUCUCACGGACAGUAGCAACCAAGUCUUGUGCAUACCUAGCCAAUUUGGUAUAACAGAUGACAUACUCUGAAAUAGUCAUAGCACCCUUGCGCAAAUGCUCAAACUCUGAGCGCCAUGCAUCAUGAGGCUCUGGGAAACAAACUCUCACAGAAACAUAUUAGAAAACUGGUUCCAAGUUAGUGAAGCAUCCUCACCCGGACUGUCUAUCUCAUAAGUGUGCCUCCAAUCAUAUGCGGUUCCUUGAAGCUCAAAGGCAGUAAAGGAAACCCCAUUGGACUCUACUAUAUCUAUUGUGCAAAGAAUAUGGUGGCACUCUUCUAGAAAUCCUAAGGCAUCGUACGAUGUUAAACCAUUGAAGACAGGAGGCUUGCAUUUCUUAGAACUAUCAAGCCUGAGUUGCUUGUCCUCUGAAACAACUGACCCAUCCUCGGGAUGAACUGGUGCUGCAGGCGGUACAUGAGUGAUCUGUGGGACCUUUUCCAUAUGCACUCUCUUCUGUGGGGUGCGGGAGUUUAGGCCCCUCCCCUAGCCUGGGAUGUGGCUACAGUGAGGGGUAGCAACCCAGUCUGAGACAAUGUGGUGUACAUAGACAUGAAUUGAGCUAAUGUCUCCUGAAGGACUAGAGUAGUAGUACUAGUAGUAGUAGUAGUAGUUGUAGGCGUGUCAGGUGCCUGAACUCCGGCUGGAUCUACUGGUAAAACCUCAGGGACGGCUUGCACAGGUACUCCAAAUGCACCGCAUGCGCAUCCACGACCUCUACCCCAGCCCCUUCCUCUGGCCGCUGCAUUAGAAGGCGCGGGUGCCUGAUCAUCCCGAGUAGCAUGUGUCCUCCCAAUUUGUGAGAGAAUAGAAGACAGAAGUCUUAGAAUUGAUGUCAAAAUAUAGCACGACAAGGAAUUCAAUGAAGUGAAGAUUUUUCCUAAACAGUUACAAAGCCUCCUGUAGAUAAGUACAGAUGUCUCCGUGCCAAUCAGCGAGAACUUAAUAAACCAGCAUGUGUUCCGUAACUCCUAUGAACUUAGAGCUCUGAUACCAAUUUUCCACGACCCUAGUUCACCAUUCAUGAACAUGCCAUGACGGCACCUAGUCACUAUGACUAGGUAAGCCUGACUGUGCAGAAACAACAUCAUCUGUGGUAAAUAAUUAAAAAAAUUGUAUAUAAGUGCCGCUCAACAUAUACAUCUCAGCAUCACACGUCUGAAACAACAAUCCCAAAACUCGAAAACUCACGGGCAAAACAGGCUAUAGAAAUAUAUAAUAAAGGCUCUAAACUCCAGAAUCUUCUACAUCAAAGAAAGGCAAGAAGUUAAGCCCUAUAAGAUAGAUUAAAAGGGAGACUCUUCAGUCUGCGAACACGGCAGAUAUGCCUUAAGUAUUUGUAGCUCUCCCUGAUCACUGAUAGUGCGUCUGAAUUGAGAUACCUAGAUCUUCAUAUCAAAAACAUCCAUAGAAGAUGCGUGAGUACACCACAGCGGUACUCAAUAAGUGCCAAACCUAACCUCGAUCGAGUAUGUACAAGGAAGGUCAGGGCCCUACUGAGAUAAAACAUAAUAAAUAAUAAGAUAACAGAAACAGUUUAAAUAAAGUCUACAGCGAGGAUCCAAACAGCACAAAAGAGUAAAUGCAGUAAUAGAAAGCAGAAACUAGAUAAAUCAAGGGAAAUACAGCUCGGAACAUAGAUAGUAACCGAGGAUCUCCUGGUAUCUCGAGGAUCUCUCGGUAUCCUCAUCUUAUACACGAGGGAUAUUUUAGUAUCCCGAGGAUCUCUUGGUAUCCUCAUCUUAUGCAUGAGGGAUCUCUUGGUAUCCCCAAUAUAUAUAAAAUAUCUGUGCCGGGGAUCUUUUGGUAUCCCACACUCAAUGUUCAGAACAUAACACGUACAGGGGAUCUACCGGGAAACUGUCCCGUGUUCCCAAAUUAAACGCACAAUAACAACUUAUAAACCCAGGAUAAAUGCUAAAGUUAGAAAAAGUAAUAGUAAAUUCUAGCCUAAAAGGCUUCAAGGAGUACAAACAAUACAGCUAAACAAAUAAGCAAGUAAGUCAACCAAACAUGCUUCUCUAAGCUAGCACAAGUUAAACUCGCAAUCCAAAAUGAACAAGUAAACAAGAAUCUCCAUUUAAGUAUUUCAAGUAGAAACGGAUUUACAACAAUUAGCUCAAGUAUGUGUUUGUCACCUCACAUAAGAGGCAUUCAAAUGUAAAAGAUCGUGUCCUAAGGGGAAAGGUCCCCACACAAGGUUAUACAUGCCACUUACCUUGAACCGACUCAAAACUCAACUAGGAACCAUACCUUUUCCACGAGUAUGCGACUCCAAAUAGCCCAAAUAUAUUCAGUUCAAUUACAUAUCAUAAAUAACAUUGCAAACAACUUAUUCCGCUAUUAAAUUUAAAGCUAAGGCGCGAAAUUAGGUAUAAUAACCAAAAUGCCCCUCAAUCCAACAUUUUGAAAUCGAAUAAUUUUAACAUUUUCCGAAUUCUCGUACUCUCACGAGUCUAACCAUAUAAAAAUUUCCCAAAUUAGAGGUUAAAUGCCCACUAAAAACUCAGCAGAUUAGCAUAUGAAGUUUCACAAUUUUUUAUCCUAAAUUUGAAUUUUAAUAAUGGAUUUAACUACAAAAUGAUGAAAUAUAACUAGAUGAGAUUAAUGAAACGGUACCCAAUAAUCUUCACUUCAAAACAGUCUAAAAUUGCCCUUCCCCAAGCUCAAUUUGAUUUUUCUAACCUAUGAAAACUAAACCUCGAAUUUCCCUUUUCUGAAUAGUGAUUACCGCUGAUGCGGUCCCGCUUAUGCAGAAUUCUGGCCGCUUCUGCGAACUCCUUUAGAAUCCAACAUUCCGCUUCUGCGGUUCCCAUCUUGCAAAUGCAGAUUCGCUUAUGCGGAAAAUCCUAUCACUUCUGCGGUUCCCGAGGGAGAUGCCCAACUCGCUUCUGCCAUGGCCAGGGGUGCUUCUGCGACUUUGCUUCUGCGAUUUCCAAGCUGUAGAAAUGAAAAUACCAGAUGACUAAAACGUUCAGCUACUGCGAUAUUUUUCCAACUCCAACAAUGCCCCGUUGAGCAUCCGAAACACACCUGAGGCCCCCUGGACCUCAACCAAACCUACGGACACGUCCCAUAACACCAUUCAAACUUUCACCUAUCCUUAAAACACGUAAAACAACACCAGAAACUUGAAUUAAUUAAUCAUUUAAUCCUAAGAACUUCAAAUUUCAUCAAAACAUACUUUCGAUCAAAAACCUAUCUGAAACACGUCUGAAUGACCUAAAAUUUUGUGCACACAUCUCAAAAUACAUGGAAAAGCUACUGAAGCUUCCGUAAUCCCAUUCCCACCCUCGGAUAACAAAACUCACUAUCGGAUCGAAAACGUUAAAAAUUCAAACUUCGGCAUUUCAAGCCUAAAUGAGCUACGUACUACUAAAAUACAUUCCAGACAUGCUCCCGAUCUCGAAAUCACCUAACGCAGCUAAUGGAGCCAUUAAUUUUCCAUUCCACGGUCGUCUUCACAGUGUUCCAACUACGGAUCACUUUCCCAACACUUAAGCUCUCAUUUAGGGACUAAGUGUCCUAAAACUCACUGAAAUGAAAAACCGAACGUCCCAGCGUCCCAGCAAACCAAAAUAGCAUAAAUGAACUUAGAGGAAGUUGUUAAUGGGGAAUCAGGGCAUAAAUUUUAAAAAUGACCCUCCAUAUCAUUACAUUUCCUACAAAGGGACUAUGACGACCCGACCAGUCAUCUAAUGAGAUACUACCCCGUUCUUCUCUUUUUAUCCUUUAUUAUAUUUCAUUACCAGUAUUGAGUACGUUAGAAUUGAUUUGGAGUGAUUUUGAUAAGAAAUGAGACAACUACUCUCUUUAAGGAAGAAUUAAUUUGGAAAGGUCAACCGGACGUUGACUUAUGAGUUAGAGGAUUUGGAAUUGAAUUCUGAUAAUUCGACUAGUUUUCAGGGAUGAUUUAAGGCUAAGGAGCGCAAUCGAAAAUAAUUUUGGAGGUCCGAUGAAGCAGUUAGUCUAUUUUGGCGAAGUUAGUAUUUUGGCGAUUCCGGUUGACAGGUGAAAUUUUAUUUAGGUAGUCAGAAUGGAAUUCCAAGAAUUUCUGUAGCUUCGUUAUGUCAUUUUGGAAUUGUGUGAAAAACGUGAAGUCAAUCGGACGUGAUUUGAUAUGUUUCAGCAUCAGAAAUAGAACUUGGAAAUUCUAAAGUUCAUAAAACUUGGAUUGGAGGAUGAUUCAUAGUUUUUGCAUUGUUUGAUGUGAUUUGAGGCCUCGAACAAAUCCUUAAUGUAUUUUUGGACUGGUUGGUAUGAUUGGUCGGGGUCCUGGGCCCUCAGGUGUGUUUCGGGUUGUGAUCACGCCCUUAAUUGAUGUUCCAACGUCAUUUCUUUGGACAUAAAGGGAUACCAUAUUAUGUAAACGAGCUCCAAAUUCAGUUUUUUUGAACCAUUAGAUUUGUAUAAAUAUUUUUGAUCCAUAGAAAAAAGAAUCAUCAAAUUCCGAGUUCGUAUGAGAGAGUUAUGCUUAUUUCCGUGUCGGGAGAAUCUGGUUGAUGUCAGAACCGCAAAAGGGGAAAUUGACCAUGUAUGCAGGACUGAAAAAGCGAAAAGAUCCGCAAAAGCAGAAAAAGGUCCGCAAAAGCGGAAAUUUGGUCUGGGAAGAGAGAUUAAGUCCCGAAAAUGGCCUUUUCUUCACCAUUUUAUGUCAUUUUUGAUAGAUUUUGGACGGGAAUUGAAGGGAUUUUCAACUAAGAUCGAUUGCAGGUAAGUUUUAUGAGUUAAAUACAUGAUUAUAUUAAAGAAUCAUCUUAGAAAUCCAUUAAAACAUGGCUAAAGCAUAUGAAAUUAGGGCUUGAGAUUGUGAUUCUAAAAUGAUGAUUUGAGGGGUCAAAUGAACAACAAUUUUUAUGAAUUUGGUAUGUAUAGAGAGAUAAGGAAUGUUUUGAUGUAAAAAUUUCUGAAUUUCGAGACGUGGGCCCGGGGCUCAGGUUUUGCAAAUUUCGUGGUUUUUGAUACUUUUCGAGUCUUCUCGAUUGGGUUAUAUCCUCUUAGCCUAUUGUGACGUAUUCGCUCAUAUUUUAGUUAGAUUCGACACGCGUGGAGGUUGAUUUGAGGGGAAAAGGAAUCGCGGGCUAGAGAUUUCACCGAUUCGAGGUGGUUUGAAACCCCCGACGUUGUUAGAAAUCAUAUGCUUCCUCAACAACCAUCUUUAGAAUGUCCUAUCUCUCUCUAUUCAACGCUUUAAUACGAAACCCGUCCAUAGUUCGAAUUUCAGGCUGCAACUCGCCUGCAUGAAGCUUGCACAUCAUAGUGUUGUAUUGAGGUGACUUGCACGCCGGAUAGGAGCGUGGGAUAGAGCACCAUUGUGGAUUGUGACUUAGUCCGUCCAGGUUGUUGAUUUUACUGCGUAUUUGACUUAAAUUACUUGUUAUCAUCAUAAUUUGGGUUGGUCUUCAUGUUUGGGGCCUUGUGCCGACUUGUAAAAUCCUUCGAGGAUUGAUAUUACUGCGUAGCAUGAUUUGCAUAUCAUCUAACUUCAGUCAAAGGUUUUAAAUAUUGUUUUGCAAACCCAGCCGUAUUUCUAAGUUUUGAAAACUUAAAUGAUAUUUUAAAGGCAUUUUGGGCUGGAAACUUCGAUUUUGUAAAUGCCUAAGGGGCUUACUAUAUUAUUUUCUGGACUGAUAAUAAAGUUACUUGAAACAGUGAUAACAAUGACACUGUAAUAUAUACUCGAAGCAGUGGUAACAAAGACACUGUAAUAUAUACUUGAAAUAGUGGUAACAAUGACACUGUAUGUUACACUUGAAAUAGUGGUAACAAUGACACUGUAAUAUAUAGUUGGAGCAGUGGUAUCAAUGACACUGUAUGAUAUAAAUUGGUCAGGUAACAUUGCCUGACCGGACAGGUAACAUUGACUGACCAGUAUAUUGCGCUUGAGCUGUAGGAGCCCCUCCAGAGUCUGUACACACCCCCCAGUGAGCGCCGCCGCCGAUAAAUAAAUAUAGAUGGCUCGGCCUGCAUGCUGCACUGGGUACUGCAAUGUACCAUCAUACGCCUUGCAUUGCAUUCAUGCAUUUGUUCAUUAUUUGUUGUUUGUGAUAUUUAUGGAGAUAUUUAUCUGCUUUUGCUGGUGCUAUCUGCUCCUUGAGUGUUGGGGCCCGAGUGGCUGACCAGGAACGAAGAUAUUGCCCGAGGGGAGGGUUUUUGUGCAUAGUGACACUAAUGGCUGGAAUUAUUUUGCAACUGCUAAAAGGAUUAUUUUCGAAAGGGGUUUAAAACUGAGCCUGAUAUUGAAUAAAGGAUUUUCAUGGAAUUAGAUUUUUCAAAAAGGGUUGUACCGUCUUAUAUAGCAUGAUAAAUGUUCUUACGUGAUUUCUUAUUGCUAGUUAUUAUUUACUCGUAUUACCACUGAGUUGGAAGUACUCAUUUUACUCCAUGCACCCUGCAUGCAGCUGCAUGUAUCGUUCACCCGAUAGCGGGGUAUUAGCGGAUUGAAGAAUUGUUAUCGUAACUGAGCCAACCAGGAAUGAAGAUAUUGCCUUAGGGGCAGGUUUCUGUGCGUAGUGACACUGAUGGCAUGAAUUAUUUUGCGACUGUUUCAAGGAUUAUUUCCGAAAGAGGUUUAAAACUGAGCUAGAUAUUUUAUAAUGGAUUUUCAUGGAAUUACUGUUUCCAAAAAAAGGUUGUACCGUCUCAUAUAGCAUGACGAAAUGUUCUUGCGUGAUUUCUUAUUACUCAGUUAUUAUUUACUCUUAUUACCACUAAGUUCGAAGUACUCACUUUACUCCCUGCACCUCGCGUGCAGCUACAGAUAUUGUUCACCCUAUAGCGGGUUAUUAGCGGAUUGAAAAAUUGUUUUCGUAGCUGAGAUAGGUGACCGCUAGUGUCUGUGGCAGCGGAUCUUCUCCCUUAUUUUAUUUUGUUUAUAUUAAUUUCAGACUUGUAGUUCUUUAGAAAAUUCUGUAGUAGCUCAUGAUUAGUGAUACCGUGAUGUCGGGCUGUGACGGGAUGGUUCACAGUUGGUAUUAUUGUUUUCCGCACUAUUGAUUAUGCUAAUCAUGUUUUAGCUUUAUAAAUGUUAAAUAACUGUUAAAAGGAAGAGUUUGUUUUGUUGGUCAGCCUUGUCUUCACGAGUGGCGUCAUCACAACCAGUUUAGGAUUUGGGUCAUCACAAGUUGGUAUCAAAGCCUAGGUUACUAGGUCUCACAAGUCAUGAGCAGGUUUAGUAGAAUCUUGCAGAUCGGUACGGAGACGUCUGUAUUUAUCCUCGAGAGGCUACAGAAACUUUAGGAAAAGUUCACUUUCUUGGAAUUCUUAUCGUGCAUACCUGAUUCAGCUUGAUAUAUACCUCUUGAAAUUCCUUCCACACGUAGUAUAUGUCCCUUGAUGGCUUGUGCUUCCCAGAUCGAGGGGGGCGAUAUGUAAUCUCCGUGAGUUUGAUGUUGGUACAGUCUAGAGGACUUGAGGCCGGAUCUUUGCUUAUGGCUUGAGCACUAAGGUGUGGAUUUUAUGAGUUGGAGUUAUGAACUUAUAUGUUCAGUUUUGUCCCAAAUUGUGAGAAUGGCGGCUUUAUAGCUAUGUAAUGAGUAUGUUGGUACUGUGUAAUAUGUAUGUCAGUGGAAGGUAUACAAAAACAUGAACUAAAGGUAAAGCUAAUAGGUAAUUGGCUCAUGAGGGGAAACCAUUUGUCAUACUAAUUAGAUAAGUCUGGGAGCUAAGAUCGUUUUUGUAAAUGUAUUAUGACAAAAUCUGUGUCGAGGAGCACACCUUGAAGAUCGAAAACAUUAAGGAGAAAAUAUGUUCUUACUCGGUUGAAUAUCCCAAUAAUGGAGGAUCGAAAGGUAUCUUCUAUGUGUUACGAUUUAAAUAGGUGCAACCCAUGUCCAUGUAUCAAUUUUGAUAAUAUAAUACAUAUAAUAUUGAGAUUAAUAUUGUUGAUAUACAUUGUGAUGCUUUGUCAAGUUGUGGACGUGUUGUUAGGAUGGUUUUGGUGAUUCUCUGGCAGGUGGAUAUGCCCAGUUACAAAGGAAACUCUGCCAAAAGUUUUGAAAAUUUUGGGACUUAGUAAACAUUUUGUCGCCUAAAGAGUGGGAUUAACUGUUGUAUGAAUGAAUGCAAGAAUUGUAGAAGAGUUAAUAUUUCUGAUGAUUCGUGUUUCGAAAAGCUUGUUAAAGAGUGAGUUUAAUCCCACCAUGAUAUAUAUGGCUUCAAGCUAAGUUGGGAAGGUCGCUGUUGAUUGGCUGAUUGUACGGUUAUGUACUAUGUUAGUUCCAAUUUAAUGCAUGCUGGUGAGUCGGUUCUGGUUGUGGAAAUUUCGUCGAGAAUGCCAGGUGUGAAUGAAAAUGUUGACAAGAUGUCACGAGCUCGGAUGAGUAGGAGAUAAGUUUUGAUGUUUACGGUAAGUUGGAAUUAUCUUCAGCGUCACCUAAGAUCGGUGUUUUGUAAAAAAGCUUUUGCAUCCUGGUUAGUUCCGAUUUGAUGCAUGCUGGUGAGUCGGUUCUGCUUGUGGAAAUUUGGCCGAGAAUGGUAGGAGUGAAUGAAAAUUUUUACAAGAUGUCACGAGCUCGGAUGAGCAGGAGAUAAGUUUUGAUGUUUAAGGUAAGUUGGCAUUGUCUUCAGCGUCACCUAAGAUCGGUGGUUUGUAAAAAAGGUUUUGCGUCCUGGUUAAUGAUUUUUUUAUCCCUCUUCAGCAUUAGUGCGACCAGUGAUUUGGAGGUACGCUCUAGAAACUUUUGUGGUAGGUUGUCGGAGUGUGACCCACUGGAACAUUUUAUAAGUGUGGCAUGUGAUCACUUGAUUGAUUAAAGAUGUAAACUAAGUAGGAAGUUUGGGAUGGUGUCAUUAAAUUAAAGAUUCACGCCUGGAGGGCACUAGGCAUAUUAGGUUGUGAACUGGGGAGGAUUACUCCGAUUGUGAUGGUUGUUCUUGAGUGUUAUGAGAAAAAUUAGAAGUUAUUAUGGACCUUUGAAUGGUUAGUAGACUAGUUCAGUGUGAUCAAAAUUGGCCUGAAGUCGAUGGACAGAUUUAAUGUGAAUAAUGGCUUUAUAUCAGGGUUGAUGGGUGCAUUUUAGUAAUGUGGUCCUCAUGGGGGAAUAGCUAGGUUGAUGCUUCAUUGUUAGAUAUCUCGCAUAGUGAUGCAUUACGCCGUGUGAUUUGUGAAAUGGCUCGAGAAAUGUCUUAUGUGUUGAGAGUCCGCGUAGGAAUGAUGCUACCUGAGCAACUUGGCUCUUGAAACUCAGAUUGUAUAUCGCACCUCAGUUGUGCUUGAGUUUAGUAGCUUAUAACACUAUAUGUACCUCAGAGAUAUUAUUAUGCACUUAGCAUACUUAUGACCGAUACUCAGUAUUUUGUUGUAACAAGAAAUUUGGCUGGAUGCGCAUCUCCUUAUCUGAGAUCUAUGUGUGGAUUGGGUGGCACGCUGCCAUGGGUAUGUUAUCUAGAUCGGGUUACAUGCCGCAACAGUGUGAAAUUGGGUAUAGUUUCUCUAUAUGCUAUCUUUGUAUGCCUUGCGUCCUGUUUUCCAAGGAAGUCUAUAUUAGUGUGUAGGAUUUGGUAAUUCCUUCUAGAGAUCGUUUUCUUUUGUAUUGCGAUCAAAUUGGUAGCCUAUUGGCACAUUAGGGCAUCAUAUGCGACUCCUAAUUAUGUAUGGAGUGGAUUAUUGCCCGAGCAAUUCAUAUUGGGUGAGACGAGAUUAUUGAAUUUGAGAUUACUGCAAUAUGAGUAUAUGAAGUAAAUUAAAGAGCUAAGAACCAUUAUUUAGCUCAGAAUGAGGUGAUAGUUCUUCCCAAGAGUAUAGAACUAAUGAAUUGUUGUGUCGAUAGUAGUUACGAAUGCGUACAGGUCUCAUCUGUCGUGUCGGCAUUGUAAUAAUUUGAACAAGACCUAUGUAUGUCAUGCGGAUAAUGGGAUGUGCAAUGAUUCAUCUAGAAAAUGGAAAUUCUUGACUAGUUGAGUACGUAAACAUUCAUGGUUCGGAAGGAAGGUGAAGUCCUCAUGUUACCUUAGGAUGAUAUGGUAUAUGUGAUAUAUUGUGAACGAUUGAGAAUUGCGUGUAUAAGGUAAUAGUUUAGUUCUGAAUGGAAAUUCAUAGCAUUCUUAGGCAGUACGGGCAGCUUCGGCUGAUUAGAGAAGUGAUCUUCAGAUGAUUAGGGUGAAUGAUCUUCAGAUGAUUAAGGAAAGUUUAGUUUGAAUCAUAGUGAUUGGUAAAGGUUACAUGUUCUAGAAAAAGGGCCAAUGUGACUAAGUUGAUGACACUUCAAUAGUAUUGGGGUCAGGUAUGAUGAUGCAUGUGCUAUAUGGGGUUGGAGACUGGGAGUUCUCAUAUACAUGCUAUAUUGUGGUUGUGGAUCGUGUGCGUCGGUACUGUUUAACGUCUAUAAGGAUUUCGAUACCUGAGUGGAUUUUUCAUUGCUUUUGGGUAUGAUAUUUGGGUGUAGAUGGGUUGUUUAGUGUUGGGUGAUUUUGACCAUUGCAUUAGGGGCUAUGCCGGAAAUUCCAUGGAUUAAGUGGUGAAGUGCGUUAGAAUAUGUUUUAGCAGAAUGAUUGAUAUUUCAAAGAACCAUCGGACAACUGGGAAAGGUUGCUUUCUUAAUUGGCCUUCGUGAUGGAUGUCAGUGCAUAGGUGUUUUACGUGGAAUAAGUGUUUGGAUGGGAACGCACGUGCAACAAAGAAAUGUGCAAACAUGACCUUGCAGGUUAAAUUUGUGUGUUCUAUUCUAUGAUGUGAGACGUAUCCGUAGCCUUGUGUUGUGAUGGUACUGGCAAGCUUGAGGUAUAACUCUUUCAUUUGAGUCAUUUUUCAUGACCUGUAUAUAUUAAGACUAUUGCUUUUGGGUGCGCGUAGUUAUGCAUGAUAAGGAUCAGGCCCAUAUUGAUGUGUCAUGUCACCAGGGUAGUGUGUUAGGUCAGAAGAGAUCGUUGGGAUCAUUAAUGAAUACAAUCAGAUUUGAUUUCAGCUUGUCGAAAGGAUAGAAUCGAGGUUCGACUCGAAAUCCGCUGUGGUAUUAGUCCAAAGGGAAAGAAUGCCUUCAUGAAAACUAUUUUUUAUUGGUGCGCGUAUUGUACGAGUUGUGGCUUAGUCCUGUAUUAAUGUGUAAUAUCGCCAGAGUGGUGUGUUGGGUUUGAGGUGAUCGUUGGGGACAAUGAUAAAUAGGAAACAAUUUGAUUUCAGCUUGUUAGGAGGAUAAUAUUUAGGUUCGGCUCGGAAAUCUGUGGCGGUAUUAGUCAAAAGGGAAAUGGCUUCAUAAGUGGUCGAUCUAAGAAAUGAUUACGGUUUGCUGUGUGUCUCAUUUAUUGUUGGCAGUAUAUGAAAGUGUUGGAAUAAGACUUUAGCUAAUAAGUGAUUUUCUAUCGGCAUUUGGUUUUUGUGGGAAAUUGCUGGGAAUAGAAGUUAUUGUUUCGAGUUCUUGGAUUAUGCCGUAUAUCAUAUGAUUUCACCGGAGGUAGCAGGUAUGGGUAUUACAGCUCGUUCGAGAUUAUUCAAGUAUAAGUGUAAGUGUUUGAUCAUAUUGAUGGUUUCAGAAGUAAAAAGGUAGUUCUAUGAUUUAUGGGCGAGGCUGGAUUGUGUAAUUUUGAGCAGAAUGUGUUAUCGGUCCUAUAUGAGAUAGCGUGACGCAGAAUCACCCCGGAUUUGUACCUGGUAAGGUUAUUGUUAGACAUUUGGAACAACUCUAGCCACGUUCGAGGACGAAUGUUUGUUUAAGUUGGGGAGAAUGUGACUGUCACAACCGAAAAUCCCAACCCGGUCGUGAUGGCGCCUCUCGUGAAGAAAAGGCCAUCCAACAACCAAACAAUAUAUCUUUUUAUAAAUUCUUAGCAGGAACAAAUCUAAUUCACAGAUAAUAUGAUAAUAAGUGCAAAAUAAACAUGAUAGUACAACUAAAACAAUCCCGACUCAGCCCGAAAUCGGGGUUUCCCAAGUCAUGAGCUACUACAGAGUUUACUAAUAUUUUACAAGUCUGGAAUAUCAUAAUAACAAAAUAUAAGGGAGAAAACGGGGUUGCGGACGCCAACAACUAUCUCGUUACUCCUAGUCACCGCCUGGUCUGGAAAGAAUCAGCGCUCCAGGAGAGAACUCAGCUUUUUCCUGUAUCUGCACACAUGGUGCAGGGAGAAAUGUGAGUACUCCGAACCAGUGGUAAUAAAAUAAAUAACAACUGAAAUCAUGAAAUCUCAUAAAGACACAAUAUAGCGCUAUCUCAAGCAGUAAAAACAGUUAUAUAUUAUAACAACAUAUAUCAGACAAUUCUCUUUUGUUUUAAAAUAAUAAAGACCAUUUAUUUCAACAGUAAGGAAUGACCAAAAGCUAGCCCCAUUGGCUCAAUAUCAAAAUCACAGUAUAGUAUCAGCCCCACGGGCUCAUUCACAACUCACCAGCACAAACAUCAGCUCCUCGGGCUCACUCCCAACUCACCACACACAAACAACAGCCUCUCGGGCUCACUCCCAACAUACCUUGGUACCAUGUGCUCACUGGGGGUGUGUACAGACUUCGGAGGAGCUCCUAUUUGCCAAGUGCAAUAUCAAUAUGCCUUAAAGCCUCCUCACAUAACACUCGAGGCCCGAAAGCCUCCUCACAUCACUCAACAUAUCCUCACAUAUGGCCCUCGGCCUCAAUCAAUCUACAAAGCCAUUUGGGCAUCAGUAAAAUAAUGAUACUCAACUCAAACAACAUUAUAAAUAUUAUUAAAUCUCGAGUUGAGUAUAAAUGUAGCUGACUUCACAAAAUAAUAUAAUUCAAUUCGUCUGAGUUCAAAUAACAUUUUAAUUGGAGAGGACAAUAGUGAUGUAAUUCACAAAAUAUUCCAAAUAAUUGGCACAAGGCCCAAGUAUGGAAAUAAACCCAAAUCAUGGUAAAAGAAAGUAAUUCUUUAUUAAAUACGCGAUAAAAUAUCAGCUAGGAUAAACCAAGUCACAAUUCCCAAUAGUAGAUGACCACGCGCUCGUCAUACAACACGUGUCUCAUCUUAACAUAGCAGUAUGUUGUGCAAUCCGGGGUUUGAAACCCUCAGUGCGUUAUUUAAAAUCAUUACUCACCUGGAACCGGCAAAAUAUCUAGCCCGUGAUGCCCAUUCUCCUCAAAUCGGUCUCCACACGCGUUGAAUCUAUCCAAAUUCAGAGCGAAUACGUCACAAUAUGCUGAGGGAAUAUAACCAAAUCGAAAAGACUCGAAAAUUAUGAAAUUUGCAAAACCUGAGCCCCGGGCCCAUGUCUUGAAACCCAGAAAUUCUACAUUAAUACGAUCCUUAUCUCGCCACGAGUCUAUACAUACCAAAUUCACAAAAAUCGGAGUUUAUUUGACCCCUCAAAUCACCAUUUCUAUCCAAGAGCGUUUUCUACCCUUUUCAACAAAAGUUCUCAAAUUAAACACCAAAACUUGCAAUAGAUUCGAGUUAUACAACCAAAAUUGAGUGAAGAACACUUAUCCGGCUGUUCUGUAAGAAAAUCUAUCCAAAAUUAGCCCAAACAGAGCUCCAAAUUGGUAAAAUAAUUUGAGUUAAGAACACUUACCCCGUUGUUCUCUAAGAAAAUCUGUUCAAAAGUCGCCCAAACCGAGCUCCAAAUUGCUAAAAAUGGAAAAUGGGAACGAAGUCCCAUUUUCACAAAAUGAACAUUUUGCCCAAAAUUUUCGAGGUACUAUUCAUCUUGCGCACUGUUCACCCGUGUUACUGUUCACAUGGGUACUAUUCCUGGAUACUGUUCAUGGGUACUGUUCACGGAUACUGUUACGGGGUACUGUUCAUGGAUACUAUUACGGGGUACUGUUCAUUGCUGCAGAAAAUACAACAACUUUUUAAGAAAUUUGCAGCACAUAUAUUUUUCAAUAAAAUGGCUCUAACUCCACCAUACGAACUCAGAAUUAGACGAUUCUUCUUAUUAUGAGUCAAAAGUAAUAAUACAAACACAACCCUUCAACUUAAACUCAAUUCGGAGCUCGUUUGCGCAGUUCAAUACCCAUUUCGCUCGUUAAACAAUUAACUCAUAUUUCGCGUCAAAAACCCAAUUGCGACUUGAUGAAAUUAAACCAAAAUUCCCAGAUCAGUCAUAUAAUUCAUAAUUUAAAUUAUGGAAGUCUCGAAAUCAUAUUUCGAUCUCAGGAACUAAAAAUGGACCUUUGAAUCAUUACAGUUUUAUGCUCAAAACAACAAAAAUCUUUCAGAAAUGACCAGUUGGGCAUCCGAAACAAACCCGAGGCACCUGGGACCUCAACCAAAAGUACAUAUAUGUUUUAAUACCUCAUUCAAACUUGAUCAAACCAUUAAAAUAUUAUCGUUAACAUAAAAAUCACCAAAUUUCAUCAAAUAAAAGCUUGUGUUAAACUAAAACUUCCAAAACAUGCAUUCAAUCAAAAACCCGAUCUAAACACCUCCGAAUUAACUGAAAUUUUGCAAACAAGUCCAAAAUAACUUAAAGAAGCUACUGGAACUAUCGGAUUUCCAUUCCGACCUCUGGAUCAAAAUUUCACCUAUCAACCGGAAAUCGCCAAAAUACUAACUUCGCCAAAAUAGGCUAAUUUCUUCACCGGGCCUCCAAAAUUAAUUCCAAUAGCGCUCCUAUGCCUUAAAUCAUCCCCCAAAGCUAAUCGAAUCAUCGGAAUUCAAUUCUGAGCACUCUAACUUACAAGUCAAUAUCCGGUUGACUUUUCCAAAUUAAUUCUCCAUAUAAAGAGACUAAUUGCUCCAUUUCCUACAAAACUCGAUCCAAAUUGACUCAAUUUCACCAAGUACAUAUAUUGAAACAUGAAUAAGCAUUUAACGGGGAAUAUAGGACAACAAUACAGGAAACAACGGUUCGGAUCGUUACAUUCUCCCCAACUUAAACAAACGUUCGUCCUUGAACGUGCCUAGAGUUGUACCAAAAGACCAACAAUUGCUUAAUAACCUUACCAGGUAUAAAUUCAGAGGUGAUUCAAUGUCACCCUAUCUCAUAUAGGUCCGAUAACACAUUUAAAUUGAAUUUACACAAUCCACUCUCACCCAUAAAUCAUAGAACUUCCGCGUUGGCUAGGUAAGCGUCCUGUAGUAAGAGGAGUAGUUAUGAACCCUGUAGACCAUCCCCNNNNNNNNNNNNNNNNNNNNNNNNNNNNNNNNNNNNNNNNNNNNNNNNNNNNNNNNNNNNNNNNNNNNNNNNNNNNNNNNNNNNNNNNNNNNNNNNNNNNNNNNNNNNNNNNNNNNNNNNNNNNNNNNNNNNNNNNNNNNNNNNNNNNAGAAAAAGGAAUAAAUAUAGUGAUAAUUUGAUUCUUCGUCGCCGUAGUAAAUAGGAGAGAAAAUCGAAUUAAAUUCUUCGUUUUUACAAAAAAAAAAAUAGGAGUAAGCUUGUGACACGUUCACUAAAAAAAAUCUCUUUUUAAUUCUAAAACUAUCAAAAUGAGCAAAAUCUCACAUAAAUACUUGAAUAGCCUCGAACCAGCUGUAAUACCCACACGUGCAACCUCGGUGAAAUCAUAUGAUAUACUGCAUAAUCCAAGCACUUGAAAUGAUAAUUUCUAUUCAUAACAGUUGCCCACGACAACCAAAUACCAAUAGAAAAUCCCUUAUUAGCUAAAGUCUUAUUCCCACACUUUCAUACACUGCCAACAAUAAAUGAGACACGCGACAAGCCGUAACCUUUUUUUUUCAGAUCAACCACUUAUGAAGCCACUUCCCUUUUGACUAAUACCACAACAGAUUCCCGAGCUGAAACUCGAUAUUAUCAUCCUAAAAAGCCGAAAUCAAAUCUGUUCUUAUUCAUCACUACCCCCAACGAUCACCUCAAAUCCAACACACAACUCUAGUGGUAUAACACCCCAGUAUAGGCCUAAGCCACAACUUGCAUAAUACGCGCACCAAUAAGAAACAGCUCGAACAUACUCGAAUCAUGAAAAUGACUCAACUGAGAGAGUCGUACCUCAAAUUCACUAGUACUACCACAACACAAGGCUGAGACCCUAUCUCACAUCAUAUAAAUAGGACACACAAAUUGGACAUGCAAGGCCAUGUUUCCACACGGCUUUGCUGCAACGUGCAUCUUAUCCAAAUACUACUCCACAUUACCCUGUCUCACAUCAUAUAAAUAGGACAUACAAAUUGGACUUGCAAGGCCAUGUUUCCACACGGCUUUGCUGUAACGCGCGAUCUUAUCCAAAUACUACUCCACAUGAAACACCUCAAGUCACUAUGCUUGAAAUCGGACACACAUAUUUGACCUGCAAGGUCAUGUUUCCACACAGCUUUGCUACAACGCGCGAUCUUAUCCAAAUAAUACUCUACAUGAAACACCUCAAGUCCCUAUGCUUGAAAUCGAUAACCAUGCUCAAUUGAUGGCUGGAGUCAGAGCAAAUCAUUACACCUACGGUGAAACAAAUAACACAUACCACGCAAACCAGAUAGAACAUAAUCCAACUCAUAUCGCCACUCAACCCGUGGCAUUUCCAGCAUAGCCCAUGCACAAUAGUUCAGAAUUGCCUAACGCUAAGACAACCAGUCUAAAUUCUGACAUCACAUACAAAAUCUAAAUACCAACAAGUAAAGAUCCACUCGAGCCUCCAAGUCCCGAUAGUCAUUAAACAGUACCGACGCACACUAUCCACAACUACCAUAUAACAUGUACAUGAGAACUCCCAGUGUCCAACUCCAUAUAGUACCCUGAGCCUCCAAAUCGUGAUAGUCGUUAAACAAUACCGAAGCACACGAUCCAGAACUACAAUAUAGCCAAUACAUGAGAACUCCCAGUCUUCAACUCCAUAUAGCACACACAUCAUCAUACGUGAUCCUAGUUUCCACCGUGCAAUACACGCACAUAUUUGAUAAUCCUUAAUUCCAUGAUACAUUCUAGAUAUUUACAUGUGCUUCCGAGCAAACCCGAAUACCACCAGUGGACCCAACAAGAACAUGCCGCAAUAUUACUGAAAUAUAAUUAGUUUAAUCACAUUGCCCCUUUUUUGAGACAUAUACUCUCAUCAAAUCACUUCCACUUAGCAAUAUAAUUUUCCCAAAUCAUCCGAAGAUCAUUUAUCUAAUCACAUAGGAGGAAUCACUACACAUCUCAUGCUCUGCAUGACAUACACAAGUCUUGUUCAAAUUCUUACAAUACUGACACGACGGAUGAGAUCUGUAUAAAUUCACAACAUCGCGGAAUCAACAAUUCAUUGGGUCUAUUAUUCUUGCAAGAACUAUCACCUCAUUCUAAACCAAACAAUGGUCUUAGACCCUUUAAUUACUUCAUAUAAUCAGAUUGCACUGAUCUCAAAUUUGAUGAUCUCCAGAAGGAAUUACCAAUCCCACGCACUAAUGCGGACUUCCAAAAAAAAUAGGAAGCAAAUCAUACAAAAUAGCAUAUAGAAACUAUACUCAUGAUCAAACUAUUGCAGCGUGCAACCCGAUCCCGAUAACAUACUCGUGGCGGCGUGUCACCCAAGCCACACAUAGAUCUCACAUAAGGAGAUGCACAUCGAGCCAAAUUUGCUCAUUAUAACAAAAUACCGAGUACCGGUCAUAAGCUUGCUAAGUGUAUAAUAAUAUCUUUGAGGAACAUAUAGCGCAAUAAGCUACAAAACUCAAUCACACCUGAGGUGCGAUUCACAAAUCUAAAUUUCAAGAGCCAAUAUGCUCAUAUAACGUCAUUCCUACAAGGAUUCUCAACACAUAAAAAUAUCUCAAGUCGACUCACAACUCUUAUGGCACAAUGCAUCACUACGCGAAAUAUCUGACAAUGAAACGUCAAUAUAACUACUCCUCCAUGAGGGUCGCGUUACUAAAUUGCACAUAUCUGGCCUGAUAUAGAGCCAUUACUCACAUUAAAUUUAUCCAUCGACUUCAAGCCGAUUCUAAUGGCACUGAAAUAGUCUGAUAACCAUUCAAAGGUCCAUAAUAACUUCCAUUACCUUCAUAAAACACAAGAAUAACCAUCACAAUAGGAGUAAUCCUCCCCAGUUCACAACUCAAUAUGCCAAGUGCCCUCUAGGCAUGAAUCUUUAAUUUAACUACAUUAUCACAAACUUCGUACUUGGUUUACAUCUUUAAUCAAUCAAGUUUGGUUUACAAAUUUAAUCAAUCAAGUGAUCACAUGCCACACUUAUAUAAUCUUCCCGUGGGACACACUCCCACAACUUACCACAACAAUAUCUGGAGCGUACCUCCAAAUCACCGGUCGUACUAACGUUGAAGAGCGAUCAAGAAUCUUAAGCAGGAUGCAAAACCAUUUUUACAAAACACCGAUCCUAGGUGACACUGAAGACAAUACCAAUUUACUGUAAACAUCGAAACUCAUCUCCUGCUCAUCCAAGCUCAUAACAUCUCGUCAAAAAAAUUCCUUCACUUGUGCCAUGCUCGACCAAAUUUCCAUAACCAGAACUUAUUUACGAGCAUGCAUCAGACUCGAACCAAUAUAACAUAUAAUCAUGCAAUCGACCUAUUUAAUAGCAAACUCCCCAACUUGGCUCGAAGCGAUAGAUCAUAACACAUACACUCUAUUAUUGUCAUAAUGCCAUGGUGGGAUUAAACUCACUCCUUUAUAAUCUUGUGAGAACACGAAUCAUUAGAAAUUUUAACUUUUCUGCAAUUUUUGCAUUCACUCACACAAUAGUUAUGCCCACUCUUUAGGCGACAAAAUUUUUACUAAGUCCCAAAUUUUCAGAAAAUUUCGGCAGAGUUUCCAUUGUAAUUGGGCCUAUCCACCUUCUAGAGAAUCAGCAAAUCCAUCCUAACAACAUGUCAACAACUUGACAAAGCAUCACAAUGUAUAUCAAUUACAUAAAUUUCAAUACCACAUGUAGUAUACUAUCAAAAUUGAUACAUGGACAUGAGUUGCACCUAUUUGAACCAUAACACAUAGAAAAUACCUUUCAACCCUCCAUUAUUGGGCUAUUCAACCAAGUAAGAACAUAUUCUUUCUUUAAAUACUUUUGACCUUCAAGGUGAUCUUCUUGACCCAAUGAUUUCGUCAUAAUACAUUUACAGAAGCGAUCUCUUUCUUUAAAUGUUUUCGACCUUCAAGGUGGUCUCCUCGACUCAAAGAUUUUGUUAUAAUACAUUUACAGAAGCGAUCUCAGCUCCCAGACUUAUUUACCUAGUAUGACAAACAGAUUCCCCUCAUAAGCCAAUUAUCCUCUAGCUUUACCUUUAGUUAAUAUUUAUGUACACCUUCCACUGACAUACACCUUACACAAUCACUUAAUAUUACUGAGUCUAAACUCAUACCGUAACAUGAUACUCCACUCCAACCAGGAGACAUAAAAAAAUCUUCGCGCGCCCAUAACUUGGGACUACACAUCCGAUCACCAUGGAAAUCAAACACUCCACAGUUCAUCAAUCAUCCAGUAGACCUUCCUCAUCAAAUAGAUAGAUCUCGCAAUACUAUCAUACUCCUCAGGUAACAAUCCAGCCAUCAUUCCCACUAAUAGGGACAGUACUGAACAUAUAAGUUCAUAACACUAGCUCAGACAAUCAACAUCCUGGUGCUCAAGCCAUAAGCAAAGAUUCGGCCCCAAGUCCUCCAAACAGGACUAACUUCAACUCACAGAGAUUACGCUUCACCCCUCGAAUGGGGAAUCAAAAGCCAUCGAUGCACAUCUGGUACUGAGCGCUCACGUGCGCAUUCUGACAUAUUGAAGAAAUUACAAGAGGUAUAUCUCAAGCUGAAUCAAGUACGCACGAUAAGAAUUCCAAGAAAGUGAAGUUUUCCUAAAGGUUAUGUAGCCUUCCAAGGAUAAAUACAGACGUCUCUGUACCAAUCCGCGAGACUCUACUAAUCCUGCUCAUGACUCGCGAGUCCUAGUAACCUAGGCUCUGAUACCAAUUUGUCACGACCUAAAAUCCCAACCUAGUCGUGAUGGCGCCUCUCGUGAAGACAAGGCCAGCCAACAACCAAACAAUACACGAUUUUAUAAAUUCUUAGCAGGAAUAAAUCUAAUUCACAGAUAAUAUGAUAACGAGUGUAAAAUAAACGUGAUAGUACAAUUAAAACCAUCCCGACUUAGCCCGAAAUUGGGGUGUCACAAGUCAUGAGCUACUACAGAGUUUACUCAUAUUUUACAAGUCUGGAAUAUCAUAGUUAAAAAAGAUAAGGGAGAACUACCUCGUUACUCCUAGUCAACAACUACCUCGUUACUCCUAGUCACCGCUUGGUCUGGAAAGAAUCACCGCUCAGGAGUGAACUCAGCUCUGCCUGUAUCUGCACAUAUGGUGCAGGGAGUAAUGUGAGUAGUCUGACCCAGUGGUACUAAAAAUAAAUAACAACUAAAAGCAUGAAAUCUCAUAAAUACACAAUAUAGCGCUAUCUCAACCAGUAAAACUAGUUAUAUAUUAUAACAGCAUAUAUGAGAGAAUUCUCUUGUUUUUAAACAAUAAAGAGCAUUUAUUUCAACAUUAAGGAAUGAUCUAAAGCUAGCCCCUUAGGCUCAAUAUCAAAAUCACAGUACAGUAUCAUCCACACGGGCUCAAUCGCUACUCACCAGCACACAACAUCAGCCCCUCGGGCUCACUCCCAACUCAUCACACACAAAGAACGGCCUCUCGGGCCCACUCGCAACUCACCUGGGUACCCUGCGCUCACUGGGGGUUUGUACAGACUCCGGAGGGGCUCCUACAGCCCAUGCACAAUAUCAAUAGUCUUGAAAGCCUUCACACAACACACUCGAGGCCUGAAAUCCUCCUCACAUAACACACUCAAGGCUUGAAAGCUCCUCACAUAACACUCGAGGCCUGAAAGACUCCUCACAUCACUCAACAUAUCCUCACAGAUGGCCUUCGACCUCAAUCAGUCCAGAAAAUAAUCAUAAGCCCUUUGGGCAUCAGUAAAAUAAUGAUACUCAGCUCGAACAACAUUAUAAUUAUCAUUAAAUCUCGAGUUGAGUAUAAAUGUAGCUGAGUUCACAAAAUAAUAUAAUUCAAUUGGACUGAGUUCAAAUAACAUUUUGAUUGGUGAGGGAAAUAGUGAAGUAAUUCGCAAAAUAUUCCAAAUAAUUGGCACAAGGCCCAAGUAUGGCAAUAAGCCCAAAUCAUGGUGAAAGACAGUAAUUUUUUAUUAAAGACGCCAUAAAAUAUCAUUUGGGAUUCACAAUUCCCAAUAGUAAAUAACCUCGCCCUCGUCAUACAACGCGUGUCUCAUCUCAACAUAGCAGUGUGUUGUGCAAUCCGGGGAUUCAAACCCUCAGUGCGUCAUUUAAAAUCAUUACUCACCUCGUACCGGCGAAAUCUCUAGCACGCGACGCCCUUACUCCUAAAAUCAGCCUCCACGCACAUCGAAUCUAUCCAAAUUCAGAGCGAAUACAUCACAAUAUGCUGGGGGAAUAUAACCCAAUCGAAAAGACUCGAAAAAUAAAAAAAAUUAUGAAAUUAGCAAAAAACCCGAGCUCCGGGCCCACGUCUUGAAAUCCAGAAAUUUUUACAUUAGUACGAUCUUUAUCUCUCCACGAGUCUAUACAUACCAAAUUCACAAAAAUCGGAGUUCAUUUGACCCCUCAAAUCACCAUNNNNNNNNNNNNNNNNNNNNNNNNNNNNNNNNNNNNNNNNNNNNNNNNNNNNNNNNNNNNNNNNNNNNNNNNNNNNNNNNNNNNNNNNNNNNNNNNNNNCAUUUCUAUCCAAGAGGGUUUUCUACCCUUUUCAACAAAAAUUCUCAAAUUAAACACCAAAACUUGCAAUAGAUUCGAGUUAUACAACUAAAAUUGAGAUAAAACACUUACCUCUUUGUUCUCUAAGAAAAUCUGUUAAAUAUCGCCCAAACCGAGCUCCAAAUUGCCCAAAAUUUCCGAGCUUACUGUUCAUCAUGCGUACUGUUCACCCGUGUUACUGUUCACAGGGGUACUAUCCACGGAUACUGCUACGGGGUACUGUUCACUGCUACAGAAAAUACAGCAGCUUUAUAAGAAAUUUGCAGCACAACCAAUUUUAACUAAAAUGACUCUAACUCCACCAUAAGAACUCGGAAUUAAACGAUUCUUGUUCCAAUGAGAAUAAAAUAAUAGUACGAACACAACCCUUCAAUUGAAACUCAAUUCCGAUCUCUUUUGGUCAGUUCAAUACCCAUUUCCCUAGUUAAACAAUUAACUCAUAUUUCGCGUCAAAAACCUAAUCGCGACUUGAUGAAAUUAAACCAAAAUUUUCAGAUCGGUCCGAUAAUUCAUGAUUUAAAUUAUGGAAUUCUAGAAAUCAGAUUUCGAUCUUAGGAAUUAAAAAUGGACCUUUGGAUCAUUGCAGGUUUAUGCUCAAAACAACAUAAAUCUUUCAAAAAUGACCUGUUGGGCAUCCGAAACACACCCGAGGCACCCGGAACUUCAACCAAAAGUACAGAUAUGUUUUAAUACCUCAAUUAAAUUUUCUCGAACCAUAAAAAUUUAUCGUUAACAUCAAAAUCACCAAAUUUUAUCAAAUCAAAGCAUAAGUUAAACUAAAACUUCCAAAACAUGCAUUCAACCAAAAACCCGACCUAAACACUUCCGAAUCAACUGAAAUUUUGCACACAAGUACAAAAACACCUAACGAUGCUAUUGGAACUGUAGGAAUUCUAUUCCGACUCUUGGAUCAAAAUUAUACCUAUCAACCGGAAAUCGCCAAAAUACUAACUUCGCCAAAAUUGGCUAAUUUCUUCACCGGACCUCCAAAAUAAAUUCUGAUGGUGCUCCUAAGCCUUUAAUCAUUCCCCAAAACUAACCAAAUCAUUGGAAUUCAUUCUGAUCCCUCUAACUUACAAGUCAAUGUCCGGUUGACUUUUCCAAACUAAUUCUCCAUUAAAGAGACUAAUUGAUCCAUUUCCUACCAAACUCGAUCCGAAUUGACUCAAUUUCACCAAGUACAUAUAUUGAAACAGGAAUAAGCAUUUAACAGGGAAUACAGGAUGAAAAUACAAGAAACGAUGAUUCGGGUCGUUAUAGUGAUGACCUGACGGUUCGGGUCAUUAUAGUGACGACUUGACCUGUCGUCUAAUGGGUUACUAUCCCGUUCUUUCCAUUUUCUGCUUUUUUAUGUUUCAUUACCGGUAUUAGGUGUGUUAGAUUUUAUUUGGAGAGAUUUUGAUAAGAAAUGAGACAACUAGUCUCUUUAAGGAAGAAUUAAUUUGGAAAAGUCAACCGUACAUUGACUUAUGAGUUAGAGGGCUCGGAAUUGAAUUCUGAUAAUUUGGUUUGUGUCGGGGGAUGAUAUAAGGCUUAGGAGCACAAUUGGAAUUAAUUUUGGAGGUCCGACGAAGAAGUUAGCCUAUUUUGGCGAAGUUAGUAUUUUGGCGAUUCUCGGUUGAUAGGUGAAAUUUUGAUACGGAAGUUGGAAUGGAAUUUCCAGAAUUUUUGUAGCUUCGAUAUGCCAUUUUGGACUUGUGUGCACAAUUUUGAAGUCAAUCGGACACGAUUUGAUAGGUUUCGGCAUCGAAAAUAGAAGUUGGAAAGUCUAAUGUUCAUAAAACUUGGAUUAGAGGUUGAUUAAUGGUUUUAGCAUUGUUUGAUGUGAUUUGAGCCCUCGAACAAGUCCCUAAUGUGGGUUGGGACUGGUUGGUAUGAUUGGCCGGGUUCCUGGGGGCCUCGUGUGUGUUUCGGGUUGUGAUCACGCCCUUAAUAGAUGUUCCAACGUCGUGUCUUUGGACAUCGAGGGGUACCAUAUUAAGUAAAUGAGCUCCAAAUUCAGUUUUGUUUAAACCAUUGGAUCCAUAUCGAAAAUUCGGAGCUAUAGGAAAAAGAAUCGUCGAAUUAUGAGUUCGUAUGAGAGCGUUAUGCUUAUUUCCGUGUGGGGCGAAUCUGGUUGCUAUCAGAACCGCAAAAGCGGAAAUUGACCACAUAUGCUGGACCACAAAAGCGGAAAUAGAACCGCAAAUGUGGUCCCAGAUAGGCCAAAAAUGCGUGCAUAAGACAAAAGGACCGCAAAAGCAGAAAAAGGUCCACAAACUGGGCAGAGAGUUUAAGUCCCGAAAAUGGCCAUUUCUUCACCAUUUUAAGUCAAUUUUGAGAGCUUUUGGAAGGGAAUUGAAGAUAGUUUCGACUAAGAUCGAUUUGAGGUAAGUUUUAUGAGUUAAAUACAUUAUUAUAUUGAAGAAUCAUCCUACAAAUUCAUGUGGGAAUUGACGGAGGUUUCAACUAAAAUCGAUUGGAGGUAAGUCUUAUGAGUUAAAUACAUGAUUAUAUUGAAGAAUCAUCCUAGAAAUCCAUGAAAACAUAGCUAAAUCAUAUGAAAUUAGGGCUUGAGAUUGAGAUUCUAAAAUGAUGAUUUGAGGGGACAAAUGAACUCCGAUUUUUGUGAAUUUGGUAUGUAUAGACUCGUGGAAAAAUAAGGAACGUCUUGAUGUAAAAAUUUCUGGAUUUUGAGAUGUGGGCUCGGGGCUCGUAUUUUGUAAAUUUCACGGUUUUCGAUAUUUUUCGAGUCUUUUCGAUUGGGUCAUAUCCCCUUAGACUAUUAUGAUAUAUUCGCUCUGAUUUUUGUUAGAUUUAACACAUGUGGAGGUCGAUUUGAAGGGAAAAGGCGUCGCGGGCUAGAGAUUUCACCGAUUCAAAGUGAGUAAUACUUGUAAAUGAUAUCCUGAGGGUUUGAAACCCUAGAUUUUUACAUCAUAGUGCUGUAUUGAGGUGACUUGCACGCCGGAUAUGAGCGUGGGGUAGAGCACCAUUGGGAAUUGUCUUGGUCCAUCCGGUUGCUGAUUUUACUGCGUAUUUGACUGAAAUUACUUGUUAUCACCAUAAUUUUGGUUGAUCUCCAUGUUUGGGGCCUUGUGCUGACUUGUAAAAUCCUUCGAGGAUUGAUAUUACUGCUUAGCAUGAUUUUCAUAUCAUCUAACUUCGAUGCAAGGUUAUAAGUGUUGUUUUGAAAACCCAUCCGUAUUUCUAAGUUUUGAAAACUUAAAUGAUAUUUUAUAUGCAUUUCGGGUUGGAAACUUUGAUUUUGUAAAUGCCCAAGGGGCUUACUAUAUUAUUUUCUGGACUGAUAAUAAAGUGACUUGAAACAGUGGUAAAAAUGACACUGUAAUAUAUACUUGAAAUAGUGGUAUCAAAGACACUGUAAUAUAUACUUGAAACAGUGGUAGCAAUGACACUGUAUGUUAUACUUGAAACAGUGGUAACAAUGACACUGAAAUAUAUACUUGAAACAGUGGUAACAAUGACACUGUAUGAUAUAAAUUGGUCAGGUAACAUUGGCUGACCGUUCAGGUAACAUUGACUGGCCAGUAUGUUGCGCUUGGGCUGUAGGAGCCCCUCCGGAGUCUCUAUACACCCUCAGUGAGCGCCGACGACGAUAAAUAAAUGUAGAUGGCUCUGACUGCACGCCGCAGUGGGUACUAGAAUGUACCAUCAUAUGCAUUGUAUUGCAUUCAUGCAUUUGUUCAUUAUUUAUUGUUUGUGAUAUUUAUGGAGAUAUUUAUCUGCUUUUGCUGGUGCUAUCUGCUCCUUGAGUGUUGGGGCCCGAGUGGCUGACCAGGAACGAAGAUAUUGCCCGAGGGGAGGGUUUUUGUGCAUAGUGACACUAAUGGCUGGAAUUAUUUUGCAACUGCUAAAAGGAUUAUUUUCGAAAGGGGUUUAAAACUGAGCCUGAUAUUGAAUAAAGGAUUUUCAUGGAAUUAGAUUUUUCAAAAAGGGUUGUACCGUCUUAUAUAGCAUGAUAAAUGUUCUUACGUGAUUUCUUAUUGCUAGUUAUUAUUUACUCGUAUUACCACUGAGUUGGAAGUACUCAUUUUACUCCAUGCACCCUGCAUGCAGCUGCAUGUAUCGUUCACCCGAUAGCGGGGUAUUAGCGGAUUGAAGAAUUGUUAUCGUAACUGAGCCAGGUGAUCGCUAGCAUCCGUGGCACCGGAUCUUCUCCUUUAUUUUAUUUUGUUCAUAUUAAUUUCAGACUUGUAGUUCAUUAGCGAAUUCUGUAAUAGCUCAUGACUAGUGACACCCCGAUGUAGGGCUGUGACGGGAUGAUUCCCAGUUGGUAUUAUUGUUUUCCGCACUUUUGAUUAUGCUAAUCAUGUUUAGCUUUAUAAAUGUUAAAUAACUGUUAAAAGGAAGCAUAUGCUUUGUUGGUUGGCCUUGUCUUCACGAGAGGCAUCAUUACGAUCGAAUUUGGAAUUUGGGUCAUGACAGGGACACGGUGCUUGGGACCGAGCCCGACUAGAUGUAAAUGACAUGAUGCAAAUAAAAAUGGCCUAAAGGCUGUACUAAAUAUGGUGUUCACUAACAAGGCAAUUCGGGGGAGCGUAUGGUGGAUGGUCGAUGCUAAAGCUUUCCACUCACUCCAUACAUCUGAUGGCCCCCUCCUAAUUUAAGGGUGACUCAACAAAGAGUUCGUGCACACAAUGCAUGAUCUGCUACCUGUUGCAGAAAGAAGACGUAUGGUUAGGCAAAUGAUGACAUUUUAUAAAACAAUAACACAUUAAAAAAUCGAAAAAAAUAACCAACAAAACAAGAAAAACAAGACAAACAAAGAAAAUAAACCAAACAAAUAAAGAAAACAAACACCUCAAUCGAAUAUCUUAAAAGUCAAUAAGGUACUAGCUCGAACCCGCAACUCCCCAACAGAGUUGCCAGAGAUGUCACACCCUUUUUUUUAAGAUAAACCUCCCUAAACCUUCUUGAAAAUAUUAAAAACAUUUAGUGAAAGCUUGGAAAGGAUUUUUCAAAUUUGAAAGCGAUAAUAAUUUGUUCAAAAGGGAAUAAACUCAUAGUCACCCCCUAACAUGAUUUUGGUGUGGUCACCAUUUUUUCUAAAAAUAAUAAUUUUCCUUUAAAAAUAAUUUGAACUCUAAAACUAUGUCUAUACCAUAGAUUUGGGUAAGGGGGUUCGUUCAUUUGACUCAAGGAGAAGGUGUUAGGCACUCCCCAAGUCCCGUGAAGGUCACAGUUGCACACUCGAUCUAGUUGGCUAUUAAAAUAUUCGAUUGAGGUAAACAAAAACAAAAA